Molecule: long non-coding RNA, 45703 nt
Filed under: Malus domestica (apple)
Lineage: Eukaryota; Viridiplantae; Streptophyta; Magnoliopsida; Rosales; Rosaceae
Description: long non-coding RNA (MDOM_LNC007055)
Source: RNAcentral
UUUAACUGAAAAAUUUACGACCAAAUAACGGAAGGUAUAACAUUAAUACAAAUUCGUAAGAUGACGUAUGACUUUGUCAAUUUUAAAAGAUAAGGCAUGAAAAUGUCAUCACAACACUAGUUAAGGUAAUAUUUUGUAAUUUAUCCUAAAAUUAAGUAACAAAAUUGUAGAAAAAAUGUUUAAUCAAAUUUGCAAAAGGAAUAGACGUUUAGUUUAUAACAUUUAAAAAGUUUUGCCCAUGCUUCUCAUGCUUUCUCGUGGCUCUAAUGGCUCUAAUGGCUCUAAUUCAAUGGUUUCUCAUGCUUCUCAGCCUCCCGUGCACUUUGUUGCUGAUGUUACUCACUCUACUCCUAACGGCGAUGCCCGAAAGGCAUGCAAAAAUCUCUUGUCACUUGGAACAACGCAACAAGCCAAAGUGCGAGAUUUCCCCUACCACAUCGGAUGUUCAUGUAAACAUGCUACAAAUCCUAGUUUGCAGCAAUAUCAUUAGUCCACCACCCAUAAGAUGGAAGGGCAGAUUCCAAAGCUCUGGUAGUUUUACUUGCGACAAGUAAAAUCAUUGGGGCACAGUAUUACCGUGCUAAUGGUGUUUAUACCAUAUUUAGGGCCUCGUAUUUAGAUCUCGUACAAAUACUCAGGGGACUUAAAUGUAAUUAUGGGAUAAAGGAAUGGGCAAAUAUGUAAUAAGUGAGGAGUCCUUAUUCUAUAAAAGGACCCCUCACCCUCACAAUUGGGAGAGGCUCAUUCUCACCCUCAGAGGCCAUUUCUGAAGCCUCUCACCCCCUCUCAAAGCUCCUCACAUCCCCUAAGCUCUCUCUCCCUCUUCAACAGAGAAAUAUAAUACAAUCAGUGUGGACGUAGCCCAAACCUUGGGGUGAACCACGAUACAUCUUGUGUCAUUUACAUUUCUUGCAGAUUUACGAUUGGAUUUACGUUGUUCCAAGACCCCCGGUUUUGUGCAUCAACAUUUGGCGCCGUCUGUGGGAAUCGAUACGAAAAGUUAUGUCGGUUCUUUUUCAUUUUUUCAUCUCCAUCGUAAAUCUGCAAAAAUUUGCAAAAAACCCAGUAACAAAAAAGAUCCAGAUCUCAAAAUCACUCAUCUCUCUCUCUGGAAAACUCUGCAGUCUUAAGAAACCAUCCAAAAACCAAAAUCCCAAAUAAAUCUUGUCGCACCAGUGGUUUUCUCGGAGACUUCGCCAAAGAACAAGCCGCUUGAAUUCUCCAACAAGAUAGAAAUUGCAGUGUCCCAAUGACUACAAAAUGAGCGACCACAAGGUCGCAGCAGCACCACCUGCACCUGAUCACCCACUACCAUCAUUCGGAAGACUAAGCUCCACACCCUAAAGUCGAUCUCAACGAAGUCGCUCCACCUCCCCACUCUGAAACUCGGACCUCCACCUCCCUUCAACACACUUUGUCAGUCUCUCUCUAUCUCUCUGUAAGUGUACCCAUCAAAGCUCCCACUUCGAUCGAUUCAGCAUCGAUGAUUUCGAGGUAGAAGAUGAGGUCCGACCCGACUUCCCGUGCCCGUAUUCCUAUGAGGACUUCGACAUCGCGUCCUUGUGCUUCCAUCUCGAAGACGAGCCCUCCUGCGAAUCCACAACCACCUACUGCUCAGCCUUAUCUAAAAAAAAUAGUGGGUUUCAAUGGUAGGUUUCUGGGUUCUUGCAGAUCUGAUUUCAGGCAACAACAGGAGGCUCGGCUUCAGACAACAAUUUCUGGUAUUUAUACCAUCUAAGAAAAGCAGAUCUCACGAGUUUCGAUGGUGGUUGUAGAGGGAAGCAAUGGGUUAAAUGUUCAAGCUGCAGCGGCGGGUUCGAUCUCUAGGACAGCUUCGGUCGGUGAGGGGUUGAUAGAUCAAUUUCGAUGCGGGUGGUAGUUUGACAAUAGGUUGUUGCGCGGUGCAUGAAUACAAUGCAGCAGGCGUGCGACACAAAACGAGUACGAGUCAUUGUCGAAGUUCGAACAGCUACUUCGGCACUGAUUUCAGAUUGAAUCUUCUAGUACACGGUUAAUUAGUCAGUGUAUGUUGUUCUUGUUUUAGAUUUUUAGAGAGAGAAAAUUAUGGGAUCUGGAAAUGGGGUUUAUUUAGUUGGGGAUUUCGAUUUGGAUGCCUUGUGGUUAAUAGAGAAGAAAAUGUAUGAACUCUGUUGAACGCGUCUCGCCGAUCAGACAACAGGCAAAGGUUGAGGUUUGGUUGAUGUUGCUGGAGAUAAUAAGCACAAGGAGAACAAGCAAGAUUGUGGUUUGGAGCCAUUGAUAUUGAAAGGGGAAGAAGAUGAGAGAGCAUCGCCAUGCACUACCGUUAUCAGAGGACCCAGUUCCCGCCCCAUGGCCCCACCAAUUCCACUCCAUCUUGGUGAUGAACUACACUGGAACCCUCUAGCUCAUUGACCUCUAAGCAGAAAGAAGAUGCAAGAAACAGAGAACUUGAGUGCCAUCUGCACUCUGCAAAGUAAAAGCAAAAGCUAAAAGAGAAAGAUUAUACUUUUGCUUUUGUCGACGGAUGCAUGUUCCUAUUUUUUAAAAGCUAGAGAAAAGCAAAUGGGCGAUGUCGGAAAGGCUGUCCAAAGCAGCUGUCAUUUUAGAGCAAAGCAGAAAGCAUGGCUACCCGAGAUCUGCGGUGGAAAAGAGCAAAGCAGAAAAUAUGGCUACCCACUGAGAUAAUUACAAAAGUAGAAAAGAAAAGAGAAAAACAAAAGUAAGGAAUAAACAUCCUACCAGAAUGAUGUAAUUUAUAUUAUUUUCGGAGACAUAUGUAUAAACCCCAUCAGUGGGUAAUAUGUAUAAAACCCAUCAGAGGGUAAUCGUCAAAAAAAAAAAAAAAAAAAAAAAAAAAAAAAAAAAAAAAGGAAAAGCCCAAAACAAAUGGGCUGACAUGUUGUGGAAGGCGAAGACCCAUAAGCUUGAAAUAGCACCAACCAGGCGAAGACUCAUGUCAUUCAUACAUAAACAUUCAUGAGCAUCACUCAUGAUAAUCAUACAUAAACAUUCAUGACCAUCAUUCAUGUCAACAUUCAUGAGCAUCACUCAUGACAACAUCCAUGAGCAUCACUCAUGUCAAUCAACAUAAACAUUCAUGAACAUCACUCAUGUCAAUCAGCUUCAAAAGCUUCAUUUACAGAGCUCUAGCUUCAAAAGCUUCAUUUACAAAAAGCUCCAGUUUCGAAAGCUUCAUUUACAGAGCUAUAGCUUCAAAGCUUCACUUGCAAAGCUUCACUUACAAAGCUUCAGUGCAGGGUAUACAAAUACCACAUUCGAACAACCGCCACUUCGGCCUAUACAUAGAUUCAAUUUGAAGUCUCCAGCCAACAGCCUCUAUUGACUGAAGACUUGGGGGACUACAUUAUGUACCAUAUAUUGGGCCUCAACUGGGCCUCAUAAAAAAUACUUGGGAGACUCUAGCCCAUCACUUAUGUAUUGAGGAGCGAGCCCUUAUUCUAUAAAAGGGACUCCUUCACUUUUAGAGAGCACUCAUGAAAAAUACUUGAGGGACUCUAGCCCAUCACUUAUGUAUUGAGGAGUGAGCCCUUAUUCUAUAAAAGGGAAUCCCUCACUUUCAUUAGAGAGCACCCAUUAUUCAUGUACUGAGGAGUGAACCCUUAUUUUAUAAAAGGGACUCCCUCACCUUCAUUAGAGAGAAACGCCGCCAGCUGAGCAACCGCCUCGCCGUGAGCAUCAACUCUAGCCCAUCAUUUAUGUAUUGAGGAACGAGCCCUUAUUCUAUAAAAGGGACUCCCUCACCUUCAACACCACAAGCCGAGCCAACCAAGGCAAUAUAAGCCACAAGCCGAGCAACCUCGCAACAUGUGACAGUUGAGCAUCAUUUCAGAUUGAGCACCGCCUCAUAUCGAGCAUCAGUUCAAAGAUAACAUCUAGUUACUUCGGCCCACACAUGGACUGAAUUUCAAGUCUCCAGCCAAAAGACUCUCUUGACUGAAGACUUGGGGGACUACUGUUUAUACCAUAUUUAGGGCCUCGUAUUUAGAUCUCGUACAAAUACUCAGGGGACUUAAAUGUAAUUAUGGGAUAAAGGAAUGGGCAAAUAUGUAAUAAGUGAGGAGUCCUUAUUCUAUAAAAGGACCCCUCACCCUCACAAUUGGGAGAGGCUCAUUCUCACCCUCAGAGGCCAUUUCUGAAGCCUCUCACCCCCUCUCAAAGCUCCUCACAUCCCCUAAGCUCUCUCUCCCUCUUCAACAGAGAAAUAUAAUACAAUCAGUGUGGACGUAGCCCAAACCUUGGGGUGAACCACGAUACAUCUUGUGUCAUUUACAUUUCUUGCAGAUUUACGAUUGGAUUUACGUUGUUCCAAGACCCCCGGUAAUGGAUUUGACGUAGGUGAUGCCCAAUUUUCAAGAGACACUAUUGAAAAUGAAACUCAUAUUCAUGAAAAAAAAGAAAUUUUGCAUGAGUUUAUAAGAGAUUUGGCUACUCUCUAUAUUGCUAAUUGGUUUUGUAGUGGAAUCCCAACUUUUUUCAUAGUAUCAGAACAAGUUGUUCAACGUGUAAAGCCAAAUGGCCACACGGGCUCCAUGUCAUCCCGUUGUGCUGUCCACGUGUUAAGCUUGAAAAUUUGUCACAGGCACAGAUUUAAAUAUCGAUAUUAUCGGCGAAAUAUCGCCGAUAAUAUCGAUUUUUCGGGUAAUGGAUAUUUAAAUAGGUUUCCGUGUGGUUUUCGUCCAAAUAUCGCGAUAUUAUCGAUAAUAUCGAUAAUAUCGCGAUAUUUUGGAAAUAUCGAGAUAUUUCGUUGAACGGUGCAAUCGGACUCCGAUUUCGAACGCCGGAGAAGAACGCCGGAGAUGGUGUGGCUGUUCCCGAGCCCAUUUCAUCCCAAAAACCUUGCAAAAACACGAAUUUUAACUUCAAUUUCACAUAUAUGCUUCAAAUUUCACGCAUGCAUCAACGAUUCAACAUAUGAUGUCGGUUUAGGGCUUAGGGUUUCAAUGGAAUCUCACCUGAAAAAUCGAUGACUGGGCCAACUCCUUGCUCAGCGGCGCACCACCAGAGACGACUGAGCCAAGUCCGACUUCGCCAGAGCCACGAUCAACGGCAACGAAGGAUCGAGAGAGUGGGCGAAGGAUCGAGAGAGUGGGAGAAGGGGGAGAUCUGUGUGUGUGUGGGUCGAAUGGAGAAGGGGGAGAAGAGAGGUCAGGCCUCAGAGAAGAAGACCCCGGAGGCCCGGGAAACAACCGUCAUCGCCAACACGCGCAUCGACUGGAAGGAGACCCCGGAGGCCCACAUCUUCAAGGCGGACCUCCCGGGGAUCAAAAAGGAAGAGGUGAAAGUAGAGGUGGAGGACGGGAGGGUCCUGCAUAUCAGCGGCGAGAGGAGCAGGGAGCAGGAGGAGAAGACGAAGAACUGGAGAAGGGAGAAGCUCAGAAGUUCUAGAGAGAAGAGAAAGACAGAAGUUCUAGAGAGAGAAGGAUCCAGAGUGAGACUCUGUGGGCGUGCGUGGUUUUGGCUUUUGGGGGGGGGGGUUUUGUCUGUGACACACUGACUCACUGACUCUCUCUUCUGCGUGUGAUGUGUGGUGGUGUGAGAAAAAAAAAGAAUCCAAUGCAAUGAUCCAAUCCAAAUAAUUCAAAAUCAAAUAAAAAAACAUAUAAAUAAUUCAAAAGCAUCUUCAAAUAAUUUUGACAAGACACUCACUCUACACAUAGAGAUGAUGAAGAUAGUGAAAAAAUUGAACCUCAUAGGAACUCUAUGUGGUACUAAAGUGUAAAAUGUUGUACUAAUUCAUUAUAUAUAAAUGAUUAUGGUGUGUUUAGACUUCUUUCAUUAAUUACUACAUAUUUUUUACACUCACAAUGUUUGUCAGCUCGCUAUAUAAUCAACUUGAUAAUGUUAAAUCCAUCAUGCAAUGCAUUUCCUUCCAAUUUUUUGUGAUAAACUAAUAGAUAAUUGACUAAAUAAACAUCCUGCAAAGUUUCAAUAAAAAUUUCUAAGUUUUUCUUACAAUUUCCGUGGUUUCCAUGUAAUUUUUAUCGAUAUCGAUAUUUUACCGAUAUUUCCAUCGAUAUUUCCGUGUUUUCAGACUACCGAUAUUUCCGAUAUUACCGAUAUUUAAUACCAUGGUCACAGGUGAAAUCAAAGGAGGGACUUGCAUUAGCUUAUAAGAGGUUGAACUAUUCCCUAUAUUGCCAAUUUGUUUAAUUUUAAGGUGUGUUAUCCACACACCCUUUUUCACUUUUCACACACCUUAAUUUUUUGUCGUCAAAUUGAAUAAGUUGAAGAAGAUCAACUAAAUUAAUAAAGGAUGUCUGAAAAGUCCACACAUCCCUUAAUUUAUGAUGGAACCUCAACUUUCUUCAGACACCCAUGGCCAUGAGACUCACACUGCAUCAAUAGCAGCAGGGAACUUGGUCAGCAAUGCAAGUCUAACCAUUUAUGUUGGACAAGGAGUUUAACCAUUUAUGCUUAGUACUGAUCACUUCGGUUCUUUGGAUGAAUGUAUGUAUAGGUAUGGAUGGUGUGGUGUCUGUUUUCCCCAGUGAAAAGAAGAAGCUCCUCACAAGAACGUUAUGGGACUUUAUUGGGUUCCCGGAAAGAGAGUCGAGUAGCAACAAUCUUGACGAAAGCAAUAUCAUUGUAGGAGUGACUGAUACUGGAAUUUGGCCGGAAUCUGACCUAAAAAUGGGAAGGCACAUGACAAUCCUAAGCCAACAUUACUUGUAAUUUGUAUGGCAAACUAGUUUGUUGUCUGUUACUCCAAUCAUCAAUACAUCUAGAAUGUUUUUUUUUAUCAAAUUUGAUCAUGUGAAAUGAUGACUUUUGAAAACAUUAGGAAAUAGGAAAAGCCUAUAGUUUUCAAAUAAGGCUUUGGAUCUCAUCCGGAUCUAAAUUGUGGGGAUCAUAGGGAUCCUCAUAUCCUAACUAUUUAUCGUACAUCGUGCGACCAGAAAUCAUUUUAAAUUUUUUAUUUAAAAAUUAAACGCAAAUAGUACCUAACGAAAACUGAUCGCACGUUAUACGAUGAACGAUUAAGAUGUGAGGAUCCUUAGGCCAUCUCCAAUCGAAGGGUCCAGAGGGCCAGAUGGUUGAAAGUACCAAGAUGUUCAAUCUCAAUGACCUUCUCUUUAACUUUGUCUUGAACUUUCAGAUAUUCGAUGUCCAUUAGCCUCGAUGCUUUUGAUCUUCUUUUGGUACCUUAGAACUUUCUUUCAGAUAUUCGAUGUGAUUCAAUUAUUUGUCAAAUGAUUGUUUUUUUUUUUAAUUUUAUUUAUUUUUUUGAACAAAAAAUAUUAUCUACACUAAGAGGGAGAAGGGGUGCUUAGCCUCACAAUUGGCUAGCAAUAAUGUGAUUCAAUCAGUUAUUUAUUAAAUAUUAUUCUCUCUAUUUUUAAACACAUUUAAAACAUCUUAAGAGGUGCAUACCACCGGUGAUAAAAAAAAGGUCUUUCUGCCGGUUAUAAAAAAGGCAUUUUGCACGCGCAUAACAAUGUGAUUCAAUGACACACCUCGACUCGAAAUGUCCACUAGGACUCUGAAUCGAGCUGUGCUAGUGGAAGGUGACGAAGCCAUAAAGUAUAGUGCUGUGGAAAAUGUGAAUAAAUUUAAACCUAAAAGUGUUUAAACACAAGAGUGCGCUGUGAGCGGGAAUGAACUCAUUUCACACGCGACAUCAGAGCAUAAGUAAAGUACAGUAGUGUUGGUAAGGAUCAUACCCUCAAAGGUAGCCACCUAUACUGAGAUUCGCCAAGAAUCCUCGUCGAUAAGAACUUUCAGUAGCUAAAACCUGGCGGGGCAAAAAAACAAGGGUGAGUGAGCCUGAAAACAAAGUUUUAAUAAAAACAUUUUGAAAACGUUUUAACCCCUCGCUGUAAAAUUCGUAUAGUUUCUAGAAAUUAACACUACAUAUAUAUGUAAAACAAUGCACAAAGACAGUAAAAACCAAGUAUGAUCGUUUCAACACUAAAAUAUGUAAGCCAGGUGUGAAAAUCAAGGUAAAAUAAUAUGCCAGCUGGAGUCACCUAACGUGACCUGUAUGACUAAACCUAUAGCUCAUCAAACUAUGUCUGCACACGAGUUGAAACCACCUAAUGUGGUCUGUACGACAUGCUAGCUGUAAAUAAGUACGCUCAAGUGCUACGAUCUCGUGAAGGCUGUGCGAAUAAUCGCAGGUCACCUACGAGUUGGAACCACCUAUUGUGGUCUAUACGACAGGGAUGGCACCAAGCUUGGAUCCAAGGUGAGCGUGCGGUGCAUGAGGUGAACAUUACAUGAAGGACUGUGCCCUGACCUCGGGCGGGAGCACUAACACUAGGGUGCAGCAAUGAUGAGCUCUAAAUGCAUCUAUGCAUAACAAUGUGCAAUACAACCAAUACCAUCACAAUAUACUCACAUGAAGCUUACCUAAGCCUCUGCAGCAUCAAACGAUAUAAUGCAUAACAAUAGUAAUGAAAUACUAAAAAUAUAAUUCAUUCAUGACAUGGCAUUCAAAGCAUAGCUCAUAUAAAAGUGUUUUUGAAAACCGUAAAGCAUAUAUAUAAAUACUAUAAAAAGGAAGAAGACCCACUCACUUAGAGUCUGCGCUACAAUUCCCUAGCACAAACAUCGAGGCGUCACGAACGAUCGGCGCCUAGAACAAUUAUUAAACCACAUCUCAGAAUCCUUAUCAAUAGAACACAUAACUUACAUAAAACACAUCCCCAAGGAUGUUCUAGAAUGAUUUGAGACCCAUUGACCAAAAGUCAACCGUCGGUCAAAGAUUGACAGUAGGGUCUACAACCCUAGAUAAUUCGAUCUGGAAGAUCCGCACCUCAGAUUUUCCAAUCUGUAACUUCCAAAUAUCCACAUUAUGCUUCUAAAACAUCAUACUAAAGUUUUAUUAUGAUCCAACGGUUGGAUCUUCGCCAAUUACCAAAACCAAGUGGCGGUCGAAGUUUUAUUUUACGAACUUUCAAAUCCAACUCAGAAAUACCCGCACUUCGGAUUCCCGAUCUGUAAAUUCCUAUGGUCCUUAAAUAUUGCGUACUAUAAUGUACUAAAGUUUGGUGACGAUCCAACGGUCGGAUCGUCAAUUACUAUUCUAAUCAAAUGGCGAACCUUAAUGGAACUAGGUUCAAACCACAUAAAUUCGUCAAUUAGACUUCACAAAUGGAAUCAGGGUAUUCAAAUUUAGCCUAGGAAGGUUAGGAGACGUCUCUGCCCACACGCUGCCGCACGUGCCACCGCAAGUGGCGAUUGGCCGCCCCGACUCGCAGGAAAAAUCAACUAUUUCUAAAAAUUACCAAAUUUUACAAAGAAGUAGAUAUCAAUAAGGGGAACAAUUUUCAUACCUGUGGCCAAGUCCAAUUUGAUCGGGAAACACCUGAAAUCCACCUCGAUCCGCGGAAACCCUUGAAAUGGGUGUUCUUGACUCGACUCCAAACAAGCUCCGACGACUCAACCAUUGUUUAGGCUUUGUUCCUGUGGUUGAGGGGAGUCUAUUGGUGGUGGUGGUGGUCGACAGGAUUAACUUCAAAUUUUGACGAUUCGAACCCAAAACCGCCACACCCCACCGUGCAGGUUCUCCCAAUAUCAAGGCCAAAUCCCUUGAUUUUUUGGGUGUAAUAGGAAGGGGGAAGGUCAUGAAGGAUUUUCCAAGUGGUGGUUUGAUGAAAUUUUCUGGAAAAAGGACGAUUCAUCGUUGAAAAACCUCCCAAAAAUGGGUCGGGUCACGAGUUAAGGGGAGGGUCCGAUUCUCUCUUUCUUUUCUCCCUCAUUUCCUUUCCUCCUGAUUGGCCGAUUCCCUCCCUCCUUUCUCUCAUUUCUCUUCUCUCCUUCUCAUCCCAACCGUCUAUUUCUUCCUUCCCUUUUCUUUUCCUUUCAUCCCAGCCACACACAUGGCAUUUCACAUGGCUUCAGAUUUUCUGGAGCUUUCUAAAGAAGAUUAAAAUUACCAAAAUAUCCCUAACUUUAAACGUUAAUAUCUCCUUUGUUGUAACUCCAAAUUACGUUCCGAUUGCGCCCACACGUUCGUAACGACAAAUACUACGAGGAUAUGUUAAGAAAAUAGAUCUUACAUGACAUGACAAGGUAGUAAAAAAAAAUCAACGUAUUUUCCUCGAAGGGCAUUUCCGUACAUUCACUCAUUAAAAUUACAAAAAAACUGUAAAAUUGGAAAUGGGUCGUUACAUUCAAUUAGUUAUCAAAUGAUCGUUUUUUUUAACAAACGAUAUUAUCUACACUAAGGUGGAGAAGGUGAGCUUAGCCUCACAAUAGGUUAAUGUGAUUCAAUCAGUUGUUUAUUAAAUAUUAUUUUCUCUAUUUUUUAUGUAAAUUCAAUAGAAUGUAGAUGAAAAUUGAAAGACUGAUUUUAUUAUGUGGAUUUAGCUGCUUUGAUUGGUUUGUGAGGGGUUUCUUAUAGCGUUGUCUAAUAUUAUUCAUUUAGUCCAAAUAUUUGACUUUCUUUUUGUCAUGAAAAUAAAAAUAUUAAAGCAAUUCACGUAUAUAAAUGCAUUUAAAAUGUGUAAGUAGCGCGCAGGACACCGUGAUUCAAAUAUGCCUUCUGCACGCGCGUAAGCGCUUGCAUGAAGGCUAGUGAUACGAAAUGAAAGGACAAGUUUGAAAAUAGACUAUUCAAUAUUUGUGGAAAUCUUUAUUCAGUAGAAUAUCCAAUAGUUCUCAUUCUCCAAUGCAUCUACCAUUUCAUCUCAAAUACAAAGAAAGGUAGGUCUACAAAUAACAAUCAAAGGGAGUACAAAAGGUGACCAAAAUAUAGCCACAUUUUCAAUUAUACAUGAAUUAAAAUUUCCACAGAAUGUGUUGACUUCAUGACUUAGUAAUUUAAAGUCUUGGUCCUUGGAAUGAUUAGAUAGAAAACUAUUUUGGGGACUCUUAAAUUUUGGGACCCUGUGCCAUGGAACCGGUAGGUCCCCCUCAAUAUCAGCUCUAAUUAUGAAUGGAUGUUUAAUCAUAGGUAAGGAAUGAUAGGGAAAAAAGGAAAACGAAAGUAAAGAUGUAAUGUGAAAUUUGUUAGGGUGGCUAGCAAACAAUUUCAUGAAAAUAAAGGUAAAAAAAGAAAAAGAAAAAAAGGAACGUCUAGAAUUGAACUUUUAAUAAAAUGAAAUUAAUCAAAACUGGACGAAAAUUGUUUAACCAAAUUCUUAAGGGGAGUUUUAACGAAAGUCCGCGGUACUGUUUACUUUAACGAAAAACCACAUUUUUACACUAAAAAGUCAAACCUGGUACUUUUCACUUUACCCUUUAUUUUGUCCUUAUCGUUAAAACUCAAAGUUUUCAAACCCUUUUUAUUAGUUUUCCUAUUCUUAAAAGUAAUAGAUGUUUAAUCACCAAAAUUAAAAAACAACGCGUUUAUAUCAAAACGCCCCCAAACUAUGUAAAAUAAUCAUGGGAGCACACCAUACCCCUAAGAAUAAAGAGAAAUUGCAACACGUGAAAUGCAUGGCUUUUCAUUUUUAGUAUAAGCAGGGCUGUCUCUGAAAUUUCGGGGAUCCUAUGCAAAUUUAUAAAAGGGCCCUUCUUAAGAUAAUAUUAAAAAAACUUCGUGGUUGUUUUUCUUUAACAAAAAAACCUAUCAAUAACUCGUUUUUUAGACGAGUCAAUUGUUCAACUUUUUUUUCUUUGGCGUUUCAAGUAGCCACAUAAAUAUUUUUUUAGUAGGUGUUAUCUUUUAUAUCUCAAACAAUAUCAUAAUUACAUUAUACUAAGCAUAUACAAUAAAACCUGAUAGUUCGCAAUGCAUGUGCGUCUAGUGGUUUUUGUUUACUGCUCCCCUCUUGCUAUGACAAUUACUUGAUUAAUUUUUAUGAGUUUUGCCCUAAAAAGUACAAAAGGAAAAAAAUAUCAUUAUUAAUAAAAAUACCUAAAUCUUCUAAUUCCAACUUAAUAUACUUGAACUAGUAAUACCUUAUUUUAAUCGAAGUCUACACCACUCUGACCACUUCAAUUGUCUUCGUGAUUUGGAAAAUUUUCUUCAAUGUUAGGAAAUUUUGAAUUUAGGGUUUAAUGGUUUGUGUAAAAAAAGUGGUGAGGAUGGGAGAUACAUGGGAAGUGGGAGAGGGGGCGUCUGGAUGAGAGAGAGAAGUGGAUCAUGACUCUUGGAGUGAGAAUUGAGAAACAUUAUGAAUAAUAUCAUUAUUUUAUAAUUUUUAUAAAUUUUUUUAUGAUUUGAUGACUUAUGUAGGCAUUCAUGUAGCUUGUGGCUUGUGGGCCCACUAGGAUUUUUAUAUCUUUUAUGUGGUUCUGAUUAGCCUUUUUAUUUAUAUAAAUAAUAUAAUAUUAUUUCAUAAGAUAAUCGAUUAGAUAGAAAACGGAAAAAUUAGUAUUCGGUCCCUAGUUCUUACUGUUCAUUGACUAAGACCUUAUUAAUUCUUAAAUUUUGAUUCAAGUCCCUAGCAAUAAUGUGAUAAUGAAUUUACAUGUUUAUUAUAUAAUUUUUUAAUAUAAAAAUUAGUAAUUAAUUUAGGGUUUAAUACUCACACCUCUACUAAACUUCUAAUUAAUUUUCAAUUCAAACAUUUCCAAAAUAAUAAAAAAUUAAAUUAAAUUAAGUUUGUACCUAUUAGUUUUUUUUUAUAUAUAAAAAGAUUCUCAAUUUUUUAAUCUUAAAUGUACCCAUUCAUAUAAUUUUUCAAUUUUUUUAAUCUUAAAUGUACCCAUUCUCAAAUAUAUCAAUUUGUUAUAUGUCAAAUGUACCCUUUUUUUUUAAUAUAAAAUCCAUUCAAAAAUUUUAAUCCAUGUUUAAACUUAUAUGGGUACAUUCUUUUUUGUUGAUUUGAGAAUGUAUCCAUGUUUUGGUACAAUAACUUUUUUUGUUAAUUUUGGUUAAUGUACCCAUACAUAUAUGUAUAUACACACACACACACACACAAUAUAAUAGAGAGUAUAAUUUAUAUUUUAUUAUUUUAAUCCCAUAAAUUAUGGGUUUUAUUUAAAAUCUCUUUAAUAUAAACAAUUACAAAUUUUAAAUUUUAAUUUUUAAUUUAAAAAAUAUAGUAAUGUCAGGGACCUCAAUAAAAAACUAAAAUCUAACAAGAUUUCAAUCAAAGAAUAUUGAUAGUUAGGGACCGCAUCCAAAGUGUCUCGAUAGAAAACUAUUUUGGGGACUCUUAAAUUUUGGGACUGUGCCAUGGAACCGGCAGCUCCCCCUCAAUCUCAGCUCUGAUUAUAAAUACAUGAUGGUGUUCUUGGAUGAGAUUCUCCAUCUUUUACAUGCUUUCUAGAACUUCGCUACAAUGGCUUUAACCCCAUGGUUUCUCCUUCUCAUCAGCCUCAUAUCUACUCUGCCAGUUGAUGUCACUCUAUCUGCUGCUCACCAGGAUACCCGGAAGGCAUUCAUAAAAUAUGCAUUUUGAACAAUUCCGUUUCUCUGCUCUAAAUAUGUUCAUUAAUUAAUUUAAUCUUCUGAUCUUGGAUAUAUUAACUGCAGGAUUAUAUUGUGUAUAUGGGUGACAAGCCAAAGCCAGAGGUUUCCACCACUACCACAUCAGCUUUUCAUGUAAACAUGCUACAAAACGUCAUCGAUGACAGGUUUAAUUAAUUAUCACAUAUGAUAGUGAGCUUAGUUAUAUAUACUGAUCAGUGUUUUAAAAUACUCGCAUCGAGGGCCUUAGUGGGUGGCUUGCCGUCUCUAUUUUGUGGGAGACGGCGAAAAACUCGGAUAGCUUCGUCGGGGCGUGCCUCAGGAUGUUUGAUUUGGCGUCAGUUUUGUUUAAAGGUUGUCGAAAUCUGAAAAAAAAAAAUUGAUUGAAAUCUGGGUUUUGUUUUCAGUUGCAUAGCAGUCUGAAGAAGAUGAAGAAGACCUCAAAAAUUGAUUGAAAUCUGGAUUGAAUUCUGGAUUUUUCUUUUUUUUUUUAUAUUAUUUUUUUCACUUUAUUAACCGCUGUUAAAUCAUAUCUUUUAGCAUAUUCUAUUUUGUAAGUUUUUGUUUUUUAUAUUAUUUAAUAGAUAUUAAAAAAAAUAAAAGAUAAACAGAGAAAAUAUUUUUAUUUUUAUGAAGUAUAUAGACCUAAAAAAACCUCAAAAGUGUUGGGUUUUAAAGAGACUUCACUACUUUGGAGAUAAACAUCUCCAAAGAAGAAUGUAAUGCAGCGGAAAUUGAUAGGCAAGAGAAAAAGAACACUCAAGGUAUAACACACAAAAACCUUUUAUUCUCACACAAACUAAUACAAGAGGAAUCACUCAAAACACUCUUAGAAGCUAUGGAUGCUUCUUCUACUUAUUCUCUUUUCUUUUAGGUAGAGAGCCUUCUUGUCUCUCUUACUUCUUCUUCUUUCUCUUUUCUUCACUUCUCAUUCUUAAACAUAACAACAUACUCUAUUUAUAGGCAAGUAUAACCAACCAUACCAAGUGUGAAUACCAAGUGUGAAAUCAUCCUAGCCAUUAUUCAUGACUCUACUAAAAGUAGCCCACCACCAUGGACUUUGCUUAUGGACACAAUGAACACAUGCCAUUCUUAUGCUAGAAUUGUCAAGCAUUUUCAAUGCAUGCACCGGCCACUUUUCUAGAAGCAAGAUUACCAUUCAACAAAAAGACCCUAAAAAAACUCAAAAUAUAUCUUUACUUUUUAACGUUAUACAUUACCCUUUAGUUUUCUUUUUAAGACUCCACAUCCACAUAUCUCAUCAAAAUAUUAUGUAUAUGUAUGUAUGUAUGUAUGUAUUGUAUGUAUAUUAAAAAAUUUAAGUUCCGUAAGGUUUCGCCUCACGCCUCAAGGCUUUCGUUUAGACGGAGCUAUCCAUAACACGCCUCAUCUACGCCUUCGCCUUUUAAAACAUUGAUACUGAUUAACAUUAUUCGUGACAAGGGUACCAUUUAAUUUAGUCAUCUCUCAUACAUACACAUCUUCUCUUUGUUUUUCAAGCUUAAUUAUGGCAGAGUUUGAAAGUGUCAAAUUUUUUAAGAUUUUGAUUUUUGACGUUUAUUUAUCCAGCAAUAUUGCGCACGAAUCUCUGCUUCUGCACAGCUACAAGAGAACCUUCAAUGGCUUUGCUGCCAAGCUAACAGAGGAAGAAGCACAGAAGUUGGCUGGUUGUCUUAUGAACCCAACUUAAUUUUAUUUUUCAACUUGAAUAAACAUUAAAAGUGACCGUUGUAUGACUUGAAAAAUAUAUGCAGGAAUGGAUGGUGUGGUGUCUGUUUUCCCUAGUGAAACUAAGAAGCUCCAAACAACAAGGUCAUGGGACUUCAUUGGGUUUCCUAAAAUAGUGAAGAGAAGCGCCAUUGAAACUGAUAUCAUUGUCGGGGUGAUUGACUCUGGAAUUUGGCCUGAAUCUGCCAGCUUCAGUGACGCCGGGUUUGGUCCACCCCCCAAAAGGUGGAAAGGCGCAUGCAAGGGCGAAGGCAAUUUUACUUGCAACAAGUAAAGCAAACCAGUUUAUUUCAACCAUCCACUGCACAUUUCAAAAAACUAAAAAACAAAACAUCUCGUGUUGUUGUUAAUUACACUUGGACAGAAACAAAAAGUGCGAACUUGAUUUAUAUGAUAUGUUGUCAAAUUGUAACUCUGACUUAAAUAAUAUGACAUACUGUUGUUACACUUGGACAGUAAAAUUAUCGGAGCACGGUAUUACCGCAGUCAACCCUACCCACAAAAUAGCAGUGAUAUCUUGUCUCCGAGGGACACGGAUGGCCAUGGAACCCACACUGCAUCAACAGCAGCAGGGAACUUAGUUAGCAAGGCAAGUCUGUAUGGUUUAGGGUUGGGGACAGCAAGAGGAGGGGUGCCAUCAGCACGCAUUGCGGUGUACAAAGUUUGUUGGUCAGAUGGGUGCCCGGAUGCUGAUAUUCUAGCGGCAUUCGAUGAUGCCAUAGCUGACGGUGUUGACAUACUCUCUGUCUCCCUUGGGGGGUUUAAACCGUUAGAUUAUUUCAGAAAUUCCAUUGACAUUGGAGCUUUUCACGCUUUAAGAAAAGGAAUAUUCACUUCCGCGUCUGCUGGCAAUGAAGGGCCAAACCUGAAAACUAUUACAAACUUUGCACCAUGGUAUCUUGCUGUGGCUGCUAGCACCAUAGAUCGCCACUUUGAUACCAAGGUUCUUGGGCAGAUGGCACUCAGAAUAUUUAUCUAGAGAGAUACUAGAGAAUUGAUUAAACAUGAAAGUUGAUUAUGAUUUGUUUUUGCUUCCUUGGUAGGGAAUAGUAACAAACACAUUUGAACUCAAGGGUAAAUUCUACCCCAUAGUAUAUGCUGCAGACGUUCCAGAUACGGCAGCUGGUUACGAUGGGGAAACAUCCAGGUAUGUGUACGCAUUUUGAGAGUAUAUAUACCAUUUAUAUUGAAGAACCACGGUAGUCUAGCAUAAGUCUAACCAGGUGCUAAUAACAUGGAUAUAUAUAUGGAGCAGGUUAUGCCGAAUAGGCACGUUAGACAAAAAAUUGGUGGAGGGUAAAAUUGUUCUUUGUGAUGGGCCUACUGGGUAUGGGGCUAUAUAUGCAGGCGCAUUUGGUUAUGUUUUGACAAGCCGAAAAGCAGCAGAUGUAAUCGAUCCUGUUCCAAUACCAGCAGCUUCCAUUUGGUUCCACCUUGGUAACGAAAUUGCCCAUUACCUAAACUCAACCAGGUAUCAAUAUUUGAGAAUGACAGUGCAUGAUUGAUUUAAAAUAUUACUAAUGCGCCCGUUUGUUAGAGUAGGGCCCAACGGGCCUGUUGAUCCAAAAAUUCCAGUGAGCUUGUCACCAAGAAGGAAACAAGCCAGGACUCUUAACAAAGAGCCGGCAUCUGAGUUCCUUUAAAAACAAGUCUAGACUCUUAACAUAGAGCUGACCUCCGAGUUUCAAUUGCCGAUGUGUUGAUCUCUACGUAUGAACCACUAAAUGGGGUUACACGUGAGGGGAAGUGUUGGAAUCCUACAUCGAUGGGUGCAAAAGAAAAUAACGGGUUUAAGUAUGAUUGCCCCAUUCUAACUAAUAUCGAGGCCUUCUGUAAUAAAAUCUCACACCUGACGGAUUGGGUAUGUAGUAAAGUUAAGGACAUUAUUAAUGUUGUUAGAGUAGAGCCCAACGGGCCCCCCGAUCCAAAAAUCCAACAAAACUAACAUAAAUCAAAAGACCCCUUUUAUGUUAUUGCUAAUAAAUCCUGAAUCCCUGUAAUGAUUCGCAGGAACCCAACCGCAACAAUUUGGAAAAGUACUGAGGGUAUGGAUGCACUGGCACCAUACGUACCUUCAUUCUCAUCAAGGGGUCCAAAUCCAAACACUCCUAACAUUCUCAAGGUAACUUCAAGGCCCCGUAGGUGUGUGAAUGCUGACUUAAAAAAAUGAACAAACCGAAUCAUGAAUAUUGAGGGGUCUUAAUUUUCCUCCUUGUUUUCUCCUAUAUGUUGCAGCCAGAUAUCGCUUCUCCUGGAGUUUCCAUUCUAGCAGCAUGGUCUCCAAUUGCCCCAGUUUCAGGUUUUGAAGGUGAUGACAGGGUAACUUCAUACAAUAUUAUCUCGGGGACAUCAAUGGCAUGCCCACAUGCUGCGGGCGUGGCUGCAUACGUCAAAUCAUUUCACCCCAAUUGGUCACCUGCUGCUAUCCUGUCAGCUCUUACGACUACUGGUAUAGAUGCAUUUUCAUAAAUGUACCAAUUACAAUACAACCGUUCUCUCACAUAUUUGAUGAGUUGUGUGACCAAUUAUUAUCAGAGAUCAUGUGACCAAGUCUUGUGAGAGAGACACUACAUAUAAUUAGACUUUGACCAUGAUGUACAUUGUAUUACCUAAGAUUUAUAUGUUUGAUUAAUUUGUAACGAUUUUGCAGCCAAACCUAUGAGUGCAAAUCUUAACCCUGAAGCCGAAUUCGCGUACGGUGCUGGCCUACUAAAUCCUAGUAGGUCUCCGUAUCCUGGUUUGGUAUACGACGCUGUUGAAAUCGAUUACGUAAAUUUUUUGUGUGCACAAGGCUAUAGUACCAAAUUAUUGAAAGCUCUUACCGGGGAUAGCUAUAGCUGCUCAUCAUCACAAUCUAGUCAUGGAACACUCAGUGAUCAUCUAAACUAUCCUUCUGUUGCACUUUCCACCUCGAACCCUAAAUCCGUCAAAGGCAUUUUCAAUAGGACCGUCACAAAUGUUGGAUCACCAAAGUCCACAUAUAAAGCUAAAGUGAGUGCACCACCAGGACUUGAAAUCAAAGUUAAUCCAAGCGUUCUAAAGUUCACAUCUCUCGGGCAGAAGCUAUCGUUUCAAGUCAUGGUGAAAGGGUUGAUUGAAAAAACCAUAGUCUCUGGUUCUCUGGUGUGGGAUGAUGGUAAAUUCCAAGUGAGGAGCCCCAUUGUUGUGUAUUUUGUGUUUUGAGAACAAUAUGUGUAAUAAUGUAUGAUGCAUGAAUAAGCAAUUGCAUGAAACUAGAUAGGGCUUCAAUGAAACAAAAUUGCAACAUAUUGAUCACGAUGAUGUAUUUUAAAUGAAAACUAAAUUAUUAUAUAUUUAUGAACCUUUAAUAUGAUGUAGUACAUCGAAGUACAUUGAAAUUUGAAACGUACCCAUUUAAGGAUAUUUUAUAGCUCUCUAUGCAAUCUAAUUGUAUAUUUGAUAGUUCAUUUUUGGUCUGCAUGGGAAAUAUGGAUUUUCUCCUAUGUUGAUUACUUGAUUGAAGGCCCCAUCCCUCGUUGCCCGUUUAUACAGGUUGUACCUAUCACUAAAUCAAGUUAUCAACGAGACUUUAGUCGGAACCUUCCUGAUUAAAAACAAAAGACCGAAAAACUUCGGUGGGGACAUUUGCAAACAACGACGUAUACACAUGAAAAAUAUCAGAGUAGCAUCAUGUAUCGGUGGCAUAAAAAUCUUUACGCACCCACGUGUUCUAGAUGUUGGCACAUGAUCAUGCAUCGAUAGAUAUACGUAUGCACAAUGCAUGCCCUACCAUGCAAAUUAUGCCAAGAACAACAAUCAAUCGAGUGACCAGUGGUGGGAGAGCUAGGAAUAUUAGCAAGCUGCAUUUUCUCAAUUCCCACUCUCACUUGUUUGAGCAUACCGACUAAGAUGCUUGUUUCUUGACUUGUGGAUGUAUCCCAAGGUCAAUAUGGAUGCAUGGCAUGCGAUGUACGUCAGGAGGUUUUUCUUCUUUUCAAAAGCAGUAUAUGUUGGAAAAGUUAGACAUGGAAUUGAUACCACAGUUAAUAUGCUUUUGUACCUCAUUCCCUAUAACCAAAAAUUGCUUCAAGUAAAAAUUACCUUAUUUCGCAACAUUUCUUCAACUGGCUACUGGCUCUCUAGUUUUUCAAUUGUCAUCAUGGUCCAAGUACCUAAGCUGGGUCGGAUCAUUUUCUUCUUUGAGCAGAAGGACGUUAACCAUCGGAUUACCCUCGAUGAUUGCACAUGUUAUGCACUAAGAAAAGGUUGCAAGCGGUUAUUUGCUUGUAGAGCUACCGGCUGCCUUAUAGUACAAACUAGAAAGUUCUACCCGAACGUUGCUGCAGGAUUAAAAAUUGUGUAAAAAAAAUUAUGUUUCAAAGGUAUAAACCUAUCAACUUGUAUCACAUCUAACUGAACUACAACAACAUAUUGAAACACUUAAUAUGAAAUUCAUAAGCUAUUUGACAAUAUGAAAUCAAGCAAUUAUUGAAAAUCAGAAACGGAGCUUAGAAAGUAAAAAAUCCUACCUCAUUAUAUUAAAACAAUUAACAAAUUCUCGGUGAAUGAUCACAAAAAAUGCUCAGUUCUCACCAUAAUGAAAAUUAUGACAUCGUUUUAACAUGAACUCGAGUUCAUUUUAGUCACCAGCAUUAAUAAAACAAGUGACUUCAACCUGUGCAAGGAAACAACUGACUUAGACGCAAGCCAACCAACUUUGAAUCUAACCAAAUAAAAAAAGUAAUCACAAUCGAACUAACCUCUUCUUCCCAAAUGAAGUAGAUGUCCCCUGUUUUGCCAUUGUGAACAGUGUACUCUACUCUCAACACACAAAAAGAACACACUCAAAUUGCUGAGCAAUAUUAUAAAAGCUACACAUACAUCAUUGUAUAUAUAUUUGGACAUAAAGUAUAAAGAUCUGCUGACAGUAUCAAGCUUAAAUUUAACAAAAGCAGUAAUUACGAAUUGAAAUCAAACGAUAAUAUGGUUGUUAAAAAAAAUUCUAACUAAAUUUUACAAAUAGCAUCAUAAAUGUUAAAAAAAAAUAACACCAUUGAAAAAACUCAUUACUCAAAUAUGUAAUUCUAUAAAAACACAUCACUGAAAACUUCAAUUUCAUGUCAACCUAUAUCACAUCCAAAACCCAUUAAUAAUCUCUUCUUGUGUAUAGCUUGUCCUCAGAAUUCGCAGCUGAAAACGGAAUGUAAGUUCAGAGUAUGAUGAAAAAGAAGAAAUGAAAGAGUUGUGUCAAUGAAAAAAAAUGAGAGAGCGGGUAUCAGAACAAUCUACAAAGAAGAAGAAUUUGAGAUAAAUAAGUGGAUAAAUUGCUUACAUGAAGAGCUGAUUUCAAAUCGAUGAUCCAUUUCUCACCCAAAUAAUAUUUAACAAUUGCAAUUAGUAAAAUUUUCUUGAUAAGAUGAAAUCUAGGAGCAUAAUAAUAAGCAUUAGAAAUAGAAAAGCCUUAUAUGGUGAUUAAGGCCCUUAAUUAACUUGCGAAGCUUGAAAAGUCAUUCUCUUCACGUGGUUAAUUUGGAAGUUAUCCAAUGUAUGUAAAAACAUGAAUCAGAAGCAAAUUGAUGAAAUCGGAGGGAAAAAAUGUUACUUAGUAAUUGUAUAUGUUAUGAAGGCAUCAAAUAAAGUCCUGAUAAAAUACCAGCAUCUUUAUAUUAACCACUUUACAUAUAAAUUAUAAAUGAUUAUCAAACAUCCUUAAACAAAUUUCAUUUAGGGAAGACUGAUGAGGGAACUCCGCCUAUGUAAUUUUACAUUGCCGGUCCCAAGCCCGGAUAAAGGAGGAGGGGGAGGGCGUCAGGUAGUCGACAGCCUGCACUCCAUGAUCACGUCGAAUCCUUAUGAAAAUGAAUCCAGAACAAAAUCGCGCUAAAGCUAGGGCGUCACCCGUAAGUGGCGCGCUGUGUGGCCCGAGCACAGUGAUAAGUGAGCAAGGGUCGCUGUAUCUCCAUCGGCACCCGGAUGCAGUGUUAAAUGAGCAAGGGGGCCGUAGAAACUUCUUUUCGAACGACUCCACUCAAAGUUGUUUGGGAGCAUAUGCUCCUAUCAACUUUACACGGGACACACAAAAGAAGUACUUUGAUCCUAUUAGACGGGGGAGGGUGAAGAAGCUAGGACAGAAGGGUAGAGUUCAAGAGAGCAAAAUGCGUUUAGGAACGUGGAAUAUAGGAACCUUAACGGGAAAAUCUAUGGAAGUAGUGGAAGUUAUGGUGAGGAGAAGGAUAAAUAUUAUGUGCCUACAAGAAACUAAGUGGGUUGGUAGUAAGGCAAAUGAUCUAGAAAACUCAGGGUUUAAACUUUGGUAUUCGGGCACAAAUAGAACGAGAAACGGUGUUGGCAUCAUCGUGGACAAGACCUUGACACAAGAUGUUGUAGAUGUCAAGAGGGUAGGAGAUAGAAUCAUGGCAAUCAAGAUUGUAAUAGGACAAGAACUUAUCAAUGUGAUUAGUGCGUACGCACCUCAAGUAGGGUUGGAUACGAGUUCGAAGGAGAAAUUUUGGGAAGACCUUGGAGACUUGGUGCAAGGAAUUGCUCAGACGGAGAAGUUAUUUAUAGGAGGAGAUCUAAAUGGACACGUGGGCAGGGAGACAGGCAACUAUGGAGGUUUUCAUGGUGGCCAUGGUUUUGGAGAGAGAAACGAGGAUGGGGAAGCUAUCUUGGAUUUUGCAAUGGCAUAUGAUCUCUUCUUAGCCAACACCUUCUUUAAGAAGAGAGAAGAACAUGUGAUCACCUACAAGAGUGGGUCGUCAAAAACACAAAUAGAUUUUCUUCUAAUGAGGAAAGGGGAUCGUAUAACUUGUAAGGAUUGCAAAGUUAUACCAGGAGAGAGCGUGGCUAAUCAACAUCGCUUGUUGGUGAUGGAUGUACAUAUCAAAAGAGGGAGACAAAAGAACAAGACUUGGAAGUGCCCAAGGACUAGAUGGUGGAAUCUAAAAGAAGAAAAACAAGCCAUUUUCAAAGAGAAGGUAAUCACCCAAUGUGUGUGGGAUAGAGAGGGGGAAGCUAGCCAAAUGUGGGAUUCCAUGGCUAGUUGUAUCCGAAAAGUAGCAAAAGAGGUAUUAGGAGAGUCCAAGGGCUUUGCCCCACACCAAAAGGAAUCUUGGUGGUGGAAUGAGGAGGUACAAACAAAGGUGAAGGCUAAGAAGGAAUGUUGUAAAGCCUUAUACAAGGAGAGGACCGAUGAAAAUGGUGAAAGGUAUAGAAAAGCGAAGCAAGAGGCGAAGAAAGCGGUCAGAGAAGCUAAGUUAGCGGCUUACGACGAUAUGUAUAAACGACUAGAUACCAAAGAAGGAGAGUUGGAUAUCUAUAAAACUAGCUAGAGCAAGGGAAAAGAAGACAAGGGACCUAAACCAAGUGAGGUGCAUCAAGGAUGAGGAUGGAAAGGUUCUUGCUACAGAGAACGCGGUUAAAGACAGAUGGAGAGGUUAUUUUCAUAAUAUUUUCAAUGAAGGACAUGAAAGGAGUGCUUCUUUAGGGGAGUUGAGUAACUCAGAAGAGUGUAGAAACUACUCUUUUUAUCGUCGAAUCCGGAAGGAAGAAGUGGUUGUAGCUUUGAAGAAGAUGAAGCAUAGAAAAGCAAUAGGCCCAGACGAUAUACCAAUUGAAGUGUGGAAAGUUUUGGGAGAGACAGGUAUAACAUGGCUCACUGACCUUUUCAAUAGGAUUUUGAAAACAAAGAAGAUGCCAAAUGAGUGGCGAACGAGCACUUUGGUGCCUAUCUACAAGAAUAAGGGCGACGUACAAAAUUGCAUGAACUAUAGGGGUAUUAAGUUAAUGAGUCAUACAAUGAAGCUCUGGGAGAGAGUCAUUGAGCAUAGAUUGAGGCAAGAGACACGGGUUUCGGACAACCAAUUCGGGUUCAUGCCAAGGCGCUCAACCAUGGAGGCAAUCUAUCUCUUACGAAGAUUGAUGGAAAGAUAUAGAGAUGGGAAAAAGGAUUUACACAUGGUCUUUAUAGAUUUGGAAAAAGCGUAUGAUAGGGUCCCAAGAGACAUUCUUUGGAGGAUCUUAGAGAAGAAAGGAGUACGAGUAGCAUAUAUCCAAGCUAUAAAGGAUAUGUAUGAAGGAGCAAAGACUGCCGUAAGAACUCAUGAAGGACAAACCGAAAGCUUUCCCAUAACUGUAGGAUUACAUCAAGGCUCAUCCUUAAGUCCUUACCUUUUUGCGUUGGUAAUGGAUGAGUUAACAGGACAUAUUCAAGAUGAUAUUCCUUGGUGUAUGCUUUUCGCAGACGAUAUAGUGUUGAUAGAUGAAACUCAGGAAGGGGUAAAUGCAAAGCUUAACCUUUGGAGAGAAGUGUUGGAAUCUAAAGGUCUUCGCCUAAGCCGAUCAAAGACAGAAUAUAUGGAGUGCAAGUUCAGUGCAGAUGGAGGCCAAAACGAGUUAGGGGUGAGGAUCGGAGAUCAAGAAAUACCAAAGAGCGACCGUUUUCGUUACCUAGGAUCUAUCUUGCAAAAGAACGGAGAAUUAGAUGGAGAUCUCAACCAUAGAAUACAAGCUGGAUGGAUGAAGUGGAAGAGUGCAUCUGGCGUGUUGUGUGAUCGCCGUAUGCCAUUGAAGCUCAAGGGAAAAUUUUAUAGGACGGCAAUAAGGCCGGCGAUGCUGUAUGGCACAGAAUGUUGGGCGGUGAAGCAUCAACACGUACACAAAAUGGGUGUAGCGGAGAUGAGGAUGCUUCGUUAGAUGUGUGGGCACACGAGAAAGGAUAAAAUUAGGAAUGAGGAUAUCCGGGGUAAAGUAGGAGUAGCCGAAAUUGAAGGAAAGAUGAGAGAAAAUCGGUUACGGUGGUUUGGACAUGUGCAAAGAAGGCCUACUGACGCUCCGAUUAGAAGAUGCGACUAUGGGACAGAGGUUCAGGGCCGAAGGGGUAGAGGAAGACCUAGGAAAACUUUGGAAGAGACUCUAAGAAAAGACUUAGAGUACUUGGAUCUAACGAAGGACAUGACACAGGACCGAGCACAAUGGGACGUUCUAAGGCGUUCUAAUUCAUAUAGCCGAUCCCACUCAGUGACUUGGAUUUUCCAAGUCUCCAACCGAGAAGUUUUCCUCACUCGAAAAAUUAAGGGAACACUACCCCAACCUACAUGCUCCACUCAGAAAGCUUCAACAUACAAGCUUCAACAAAAGAAAAUUCAAAAGAACUUAGUGAAGAAGGCUUUGGUGUAUUUAACACAAUACGUUGAAAUGAAGGAAAACUUAUUUAUUGAUAUCCCCGAUAAGCUACAAAUAUGUACAUAUACAUGAGUCAAAAUAAACAAACAAGAUGGAGCCUUCACAAAGGUUGCUUAGGAGAAGUCUCAGCAGUCGGUAGAGCCCCAGAAAGAGAAGGCAUCGGAGGGGGAUCAUUCGGAGCCUCAGUACUGGACAGAACCCUAGAAGGAGGAGGCAUCAGAGGUUGAUCAUUUGGAGCUUCAUUACGCGGUACAGCCCCAGAAGACGAAGGCAAUAAAUGCCUUUGGAACAAACCCACAAAUCUCUGAUGAUCAAGUAAAACCUGACCAUCAGUUUCCUUCAUCUGGUCAAGCUUCCUCUUUCAUGUUUGUAGCAUAGUCAUGUGCGAGCCGGUGCAACUGUUUAUUCUCAUGCUUGAGCCCUCUAAUCUCCUGUUUGAGACUCAUCACUUCGGCCGCCAAUGAUUUCAACUUGGCGGGUUCGAGCAAAUAUAGGCGUUGGGCCAUAUUAGACACAGAACCUGCACACUGAACACUGAGAGCCAGUGAAUCCUUAACAGCUAACUCAUCAGACCGUUUGGAAAGUAGUCUGUUAUCUUUGGGAGUGAGAAGGUUCCUGGCCACCACCGCAGCGGUCAUAUCAUUCUUCAUCACGGAAUCCCCAACGGUAAGAGGACCAGUAGGGGAGACGAAGGAUGGGCGCCAUAUGUUGUCUGGAGAAGGCGGGGCUGCCUCUUCAACAAGGUUCAAGUCAAAACGACGGUCGGAGGGGCCAGACAUUUUCAAAGGGUAUUGAAGAGAGAAGAGGUCGGACAAAUCAAGAUCUUAGAAGUGCAAGAAUGGAGCUUCUACUGGUGGAGAUUCAAGUGUGCUUUGGAACUUAAUGCCAGCCCCUAUAAAAAGCUGCACUCGACGGAGCUUCAGACAUCGAAGAGGCGCCUGCUCAGAAAUCGAAGAGGCGUUUGCUUUCUCAAAAGCUGGGCUGCUUAGAGACCACGAGGGUUGAUCUCAUAAAUCGAAGAGGUGUCUGCUUUCUCAAAAGUUGGGCUGCUCAAAGACCACGAAAGCCGAUAUCAGAAAUCGAAGAGGCGCUCGCUUCCUCAAAAGCUGGGCUCCUCAGAGACCACGAGGGCCGAUCUCAGAAAUCGAAGAGGCACCUACUUUUCCAGCCUUGUCAGCACCUGUCACACGCACACUCAACUUUGCGGAAAUUAUGGGUAUUCUGUUGAAGACUUCUGGGGAAGUAGAAAACACAUGAAUCUUACUGUCCAAUCACCCACUUCCCACACGCAGCAAUAGCUCAUGGGUACCACAGAUAACUUUGCCAAAGUUCUCUGCCAAAGUUGAGCACGUGAAGCUUGCAGCUCCCACUACAUCGCUCUGACCAAUAAGGGUAAAAGAAUAGCAAAGAAACAGCACUAACAAAGUUUAGACCCAUAAAUUUUGAAGGUCUAGCUACCAUAUUAUUACCCACAAGGGUAAAGGAACAGUACCACUGUUGGAUAAUUGGAAAGUCCCUGUGUGUCAACCUCUGUGCCUCGUGGCAAGGUAGACUAGCAAACAUGCCCAACCUUUACUCACAUUCGAGAAAACACUCCCAAUAAGAUUGCUUGCUCCAAAAUCGAAGAGGCACCGUCCUCCGAAUCUCGAGAGCCAGACUCCCAACAUGACUACUUUCUCAAAAAUCGAAGAGAGGGUAAAGGAAACAGUACCAUUGCUGGAUAAUUGGAAAGUCCCUGUGUGUCAACCUCUGUGCUUCGUGGCAAGGUAGACUAGCAAACAUGCCCAACCUUUACUCUCACAUUCGAGAAAAACACUCCCAACAAGAUUGCUUGCUCCCAAAAUCGAAGAGGCACCGCCCUCCGAAUCUCGAGAGCCAGACUCCCAACAUGAUUACUUUCUCAAAAAUCGAAGAGACACUGCUCCCCGAAUCUCGAGAGCCAGACCCCCACCCCCAACAUGAUUGCUUUCUCAAAAAUCGAAGAGGCAUCGUUCUCCCGAAUCAAUCGAAGAGGCGCUCGCUUUCUCUCAAAAGCUGGGCUGCUCAGAGACCACGAGGGCCAAUCUCAGAAAUCGAAGAGGCACCUUCUUUUUCUAGCCUUGUCAGCACCUGUCACACGCACACUUAGCUUUUGCGGAAAUUAUGGGCAUUCUGUCGAAGACUUCUGGUGAAGUAGAAAGCACAUGAAUCUUACUGUUCAAUCACCCACUUCCCACACGCAACAAUAGCUCAGGGGUACCACAGAUAACUUUGUCAAAGUCUCUGCCAAAGUUGAGCACGUGAAGCUUGCAGCUCCCACUACAUCGCUCUGACCAAUAAGGGUAAAAGAAUAGCAAAGAAACAGCACUAACAAAGUUUAGACCCAUAAAUUUUGAAGGUCUAGCUACCAUAUUAUUACCCACAAGGGUAAAGGAACAGUACCAUUGCUGGAUAAUUGGAAAGUCCCUGUGUGUCAACCUCCGUGCUUCGUGGCAAGGUAGACUAGCAAACAUGCCCAACCUUUACUCACAUCCGAGAAAACACUCCCAACAAGAUUGCUUACUCCAAAAUCGAAGAGGCACCGCCUUCCGAAUCUCGAGAGCCAGACUCCCAACAUGAUUACUUUCUCAAAAAUCGAAGAGACACUGCUCCCCGAAUCUCGAGAGCCAGACCCCCACCAUGAUUGCUUUCUCAAAAAUCGAAGAAGCAUCGUUCUCCGAAUCUCGAGAGCCAGAUACCACAUACCACUUUUUCAAAGUGCUCUGACAGAGUUAAAACAUGUGAAGCUGGCAGCUCCCACUACCGUGCUAUGACCAAGCAGGGUAAAGGAAUAGCAUUACUACUUGUUGUUAGGGAGACUCCUAUAUAUGUCGACCUCCAUCCCCAACGGACAGGCAGACCUGCAAAAAUGCUCAACCCUUCCUCAUAUCUGAGAGGGCACUCCCAACGAAGCCUUUCGAAAUAUUCAGCUUUCUUUCCCCCCGAUAAUACCUUUGCAAACAAGCUAUACUAGAGCAAGAAUAUCUCAUAUCAUCAGGGUUAAAAGCAAGAGUAUCCCAUAUCAUGCUUUUUCCCUGUCUUUUCCUUUGGCCUUGUUUUUACCUGCAAGACAAGGAGAAAGAGAGCAAUCAGUCAGCACUUGAAAUCAAGCUUCCAGCCAGGAACUGACAGCCUGGAACCCCUUACCUGAUUACUUACCUGGCAUUGCUCUCGAGUACUCAUCUUCAACAUCUUAUGUUGCCAGGGAAGAUACCGCAUCUGCUUGAGGAACAGAUAGGGCAAGUGCGAAGGAUACAAGGAAGCAUGUGGAGACAAGCGUAACAGCACACGUGCCGAUCCAUCCAUUACUCUGUCAAAAGCAAAAGUAUCCCAUAUCAGCAGGGCCGAACGUACUCUAGAUUUGAUGGACUUGUUUUGACCCUCAAAUUCUUCAGUCGGCCUUAUACUCUGGAGGAAACCAGAAAACCCUCCAGCUCAGUUCAAGAAUAAGCCUGUGGAAAGUUACUUCUUCAAAAGCAAAAGUAUAUCCCAUAUCAUCUCUUCUCAUUUUUCUUCUCUUUAUCCUUCAUGCUGCUGCAAGAUGGGGAGAAGGUGAACAAUCAGCCGGAGCUCUGAUUGCUUACCUUGUCUGUCACCUCUUUCAGCAAAUCCCCUAGCUCGGCGACUUGGGGGACUCCUACUACAUGGUUUGUAUCGCGCUUGACCAAGCCUGAAACUACAAGUAAGCUUCAAGUGAAAUUGAUACAUUACCUAGUGCAUCUCCACCAGUUAAAGAUACCACCCCUGGAUGGAGGAAGAGUACUUCCAGAGAGCUGCCACAUCUACCUAUGAGACAGAUAAGGCAAGUCAAGAUGAUACCACACUCCGAUACUUAGAAGUUUCGUGAUUACGAGAUCAUUCUCCCACAAUAUUUCCUAAUGUCAUUUGUACUCACUAAAGGAGAGCUUGAACCUAUGUACUUGUGUAAACCCUUCACAAUUAAUGAGAACUCUUCUAUUCCGUGGACGUAGCCAAUCUGGGUGAACCACGUACAUCUUGUGUUUGCUUUCCUAUCUCUAUCCAUUUAUAUACUUAUCCACACUAAUGACCGGAGCAAUUUAGCGAAGAUCACAAAAAGCGACCGUUUUCGCUACCUAGGAUCUAUCUUACAAGAGAACGGAGAAUUAGAUGGAGAUCUCAACCAUAGAAUACGAGCUGGAUGGAUGAAGUGUAAGAGUGCAUCCAGCAUGUUGUGUGACCGUCGUAGGCCACUGAAGCUCAAGGGAAAAUUUUAUAAGACGGCAAUAAGGCCAGCGAUAUUGUAUGGCACAGAAUGUUGGGCGGUGAAACAUCAACACGUACACAAAAUGGGUGUAGCAGAGAUGAGGAUGCUUCGUGGGAUGUGUGGGCACACGAGAAAGGAUAAGAUUGAGAAUGAGGAUAUCCGAGGUAAAGUAGGAGUAGCCGAAAUUGAAGGAAAGAUGAGAGAAAUCGGUUUUGGUGAUUUGGACAUGUGCAAAGAAGGCCGACUGACGCUCUGGUUCGAAGAUGUGACUACGGGACAGAGGUUCAGGGCCGAAGGGGUAGAGGAAGACCUAGGAAAACUUUGGAAGAGACUCUAAGAAAAGGCUUAGAGUACUUGGAUCUAACGGAGGACAUGACACAAAACCAAGCGCAAUGGCGUUCUAGGAUUCAUAUAGCCGACCCCACUUAGUGGGAAAAGGCUUUGUUGUUGUUGUUGUUGUUGUUGUUGAAGACUGAUGAGGGGAUAUACGACUCACAAACAACUGAGACUGUCCUUUUUUUUUUCUUCUUUUUUUCAUAUCAACAAACACACAAAUUCUUAUAUUUCCGAAAGCACUUGCAUCCCAACAUAAAAACUUAAAUAAUACAUGAAUCAUCGAUGUUUUGCUUUGCAAACAGCCAAGGGGAUGGGAACUAAAAUAAAUUUCGUGACCAAGAACCUCUUAAAAACCAAGCUUGAAAGCAUAAAAACAAAGCUUUCAAUCUUUCUGUGCAAAUUAAUAUCAUAAUCAAUUCAACCACAUUUCCGCAAUCCAAAGCUUCAAACUUCAUACAAAAAUACAAUAAUUUUUAGAAUUUCACCCAAACAUAAAGAGAAUAAUAUUGUUAGGUGCGGAGAAGAAAAAACCAGGGAAAAAUGGAAGAUGGAUUUUAGCCUGGAAAAGCAAUUCACAGCAACAAUAAAAAGGUGAAAUUAAAAACUCAAUUGAAUCAAAUGAAGAAUUUUCUAGAGUGCAAACAAUUAGUGUUAUCAGCAAGAAGUUUCAGACCAUAAAAUGCAAAAGCAUGUGCCCAAAAUGCAAUCCUAUAAAACAUGAAACAGCAGCCAUAAGAUAAUCGGAAAUUUUCUAAUAAAAUGAACCGAAGACCAACUUUGAAUAAUUGGUAACGAUGAGGCUUUGACAUUGAUAGAGUGUGUAUGAGAGAGAGAGAGAGAGAGAGAGAGAGAGAUGGAAAUAGAGUUAGAAUUAGACCAAUGCAGAAAUCAACCUUAAGAUUCCCUCUGGGUCAAAUGGUUGCACCAUUGAUGAGAAACAGUCGGUCGGUAGAGGUUGAUAGUAGGAGAACUAACAUUGCAUUCCUGAAACACAAAGGAUUAACCUUUUUCAAUUAUCAUCAGUGAAUGCACUAAUACAGGACUUAAAUUCUGAUAUAUUCAAUAAUCUAGUUGUAAGAACUAUAUCACAGAUCAAAGAUAUGCCAGUAAGUUACCAAUACUCCAACAAUCGAACUAAGUGACAAAACUACAAACACGAAUAUGAAACCAAUGGAAAACAUACCUGCAGAACUUGAACUCGAAGAAGCCAUAGCAGCUUCACAACCAAGCAAUCUUCUCCUCUUUAGCAAAACUAGAAAACUCUCUGAAUAAUAGGUAUUCAAUACAAGAUGAGCCGUGUCUUUGCAAGAGCAGUGAUUGAGGUUAUAUACAACAUUAAUCCAACUCAUUCUCCUAUUAGAAUUAGUGUUGAACUCUAAAACAAAACCUUUUCACACAAUGAGUGUACAAGAUCAAUUAGUGUAGGAUCCGAAACCUUUUCCAGAGGAACACUAAAAGCACUCAUAAUCCUACAAGGACGAGGAUUCAACCAAACACCUUAUCAAGACUUUUCCAUUCAAGAAUUCAUCCAAUAUUAUAGCUAAUCCUCAAACAUGUUUCAUACUCAUAUUCCAACAUUCUCCCACUUGAGUAUGAAGACAUAAUGAUUAACUAAAUGAAUGAUGGAAGUGAUCACUAAGUCUAAUCAUAAGGCUCGCAAUUUCGUAUUCAAACUCACCUAUGCAAUUCAAAAUAUGGAACUCUUGAAUUCUAUCUGCACAAUUUCAGAUUUCAUCCAAGAAUUACAACAUAUCCAAGUUUGCAUGUUGUAACUGUACGAAUCAAUAAUCACAGUAAUGCCAAUACUCAUUACUCCCACUGAUUUAUGCCAAUUUUAACCCAAUCACAGUUAAAAUCUCAGCAAACAAUCAAAACAACAACCAUUCAAAACAGAACAGUACUCUAAAUAGUUCCAAAGUAUACCUCAGCAAAAUCACAAACUGAUUCACUAGCAAACUCAAACUAUUCUUAUUUCAAUACUAGCUUUCUGAAACAAUCAAUCACUAAAACGAAAAAAAAUUGAAUACUGAUGAAAACAAAAAUAAAAGUCAAGCUGGAAAAUUAGCUAGAUAAAGAUACCAGCUUGUCACAACUAAUUGAACUCGAGAAAUCUUCAAUUGCGGCAACAUAUAACCACUGCAGCCUUAAAAUAAUCCCAAAACCUGAUCACUGCUCACUCCCACUUAUCAAAAGAUUCUAACACUCCCAUUUUAGUAACAUGUGCCUUAAACGCAUUGUUUGGCAAGGCUUUAGUAAGAGGAUCAGCAAUCAUCUUUUCAGUAGGCAAAUAUAGAAUUUCGAUCUCUCCUUUUUUCACCAUUUCUCUGACUUUAAGAAACUUCACAUCCAUUAGUCUUGACGCUGAGGUUCUCUUAUUGUUCUUGGAGAAAAACACUGCAGCAUUAUUGUCACAAAACAUCUUUAAAGGCCUUUUAACUGAGUCAACAAUUCUCAUCUCAGCCACAAAGUUUCUCAACCAUACUGCUUGUUUCAUUCCUUCAAAACACGCAACGAAUUCAACUUCCAUUGUAGAAGUAGACACUAUUGUUUGCUUAGCACUUUUCCAGGAGAUAGCACCAUCAUUUAGCAUAAAGAUGUAUCCCCCAGUUGAUUUCCUCUCAUCUACGUCCCCAGCAAGAUCUGAAUCUGUAGACCCAACCAAUUCUAAGGUAUCAUCUCUGCCAUAAACUAAUUGAUAAGCUUUUGUUCUCUGCAUGUAUCGUAAUACUUUCUUUGCAGCCACCCAAUGAGAUUCUCCUGGAUUUGUUUGAAACCUUCCUAACAUUCCAACAAUGAAUGCUAAGUCAGGCCUCGUACAAAUAUUAGCAUACAUAAUGCUUCCAACUAAUGAGGCAUAAGGCUUCAACUUCAUCAAUUCGACCUCAUUCUCAUUCUUGGGACAUUGAUCUCUAGAAAACUUGUCACCUUUAUUAACUGGAAUUUGCCUUAUUGCAUUUCUCCAUAUUAAAUCUGUUCAAUACCCUUUCAAUGUAUCCCUUUUGAGACAGCCCCAGAAGCUUUCUUUUUCUGUCUCUUGUUAUUUCAAUCCCCAGAACAUAAUGUGCUUCCCCUAAAUCCUUCAUUUCAAAAUUGGUACUCAGAACAGUCUUCGUCUCUCGAAGUAAUUGCAUAUCGGAACUUGCAAGUAGAAUAUCAUCAACGUAUAGGACCAGAAAAAUGAACUUUGAUCCUUUGUGUUUUAAAUAUAUGCAAUCAUCCAUCUUGUUCUCAACAAAACCAUGAGCAGUAACUACCUGAUCAAAUUUGAGGAACCACUGCCUAGAUGCUUGUUUAAGUCCAUAAAUUGACUUGUUUAGCUUGCAGACCAUAUUAUCUUUCCCCUUUCAGAAAAUCCAGGAGGUUGGACCAUGUAUAUGUCUUCCUCUAAAUCACCAUUCAGAAAGGCGGUUUUAACAUCCAUCUGGUGUAGCUCUAGAUCAAAAUGAAAUGUCAAAGCCAUGAUGAUCCUCAUAGAAUCUUUGGAAGAAACAGGUGAAAACGUGUCAUUGUAAUCAAUCCCUUCUCUCUGAGUAAAGCCUUUGGCUACUAACUGAGCCUUGUAUCUCUCUAUGCUCCCUGCAGCAUCCCUUUUAGUUUUGUAGACCCACUUGCAACCUAUUGGUUUAGCAUUUGAAUUGGAGUUCACAAGGGUCCAUACUUUGUUCUUGGCCAUGGAAUCUAGCUCUUCCAUCAUCGCUUUCUUCCAUAAUGCAGCUUGAGAACAUUGAAUUGCUUGUUGAUAAGUGGCUGGAUCAUCUAUAUCACCUAUGUCGAAUUCUGCCUCUUGGAGAUAGACAUAAUCGGUUGAAAUUGCAGGUUUCUUGGCUCUACUUGAUUUCCUCAGAUUCAAUUGAUCAUUUACUGGACAUGUAUCUUUCUCAAUGGGAGAACUUGGAGCACUUAGGGGUAUAUUUCUUGCAGAAAAGGUAUCUCCAUGUUCAUUUUGUAUUUCAGCAACUAUUUCAUGUGUCAUCUCUUCAUCAAGAUCUUCUUCCUCUGUCUGAUUUCUAGGCAACACUGAAAUAUGGUUGUAGGCCAUUGGAACCGAGCCAACGAGUUGUUCUGAUUCUUCAAACUCAAAAGUGUCAUGCACUAAGUCUGAUACAUCUUGGUCUUCUAAGAAAACUGCAUUGUAAGUCUCUUGAAUUCUUGUCUGUGCUCGAGGACAAUAAAAUUUAAAACCCUUCGAUUUCUCUGAAUAUCCCACAAAGUAGCAUGAACUGGUUCUAGAAUCGAGCUUCCUUUCAUUUGGGUUGUAAAACCUAGCUUCUGCUUUGCAACCCCACACAUGAAAAUGAUGAAAACUUGGUGUUCUGCCAGUCCAUAGCUCAAAAGGUGUUUUUGGCACUGAUUUUGUAGGCACUCGGUUCAACACAUAGUUUGAUGUCCUCAAUGCUUCGCCCCACAGAAAACCAGGCAGCUUAGAUCUUGAAAUGAGACUUCUAACCAUUCCCAUCAAGGUUCGGUUUCUUCUCUCAGCCACUCCAUUCUGUUGGGGUUUUCCUGGAGUAGUAUACUGAGCCACAAUGCCUUGUAACUCAAGAAAUCGUGCAAACGGACCCUUCUGUUGCCCUGCUUCUGUGUGCCUGCCAAAAUAUUCUCCUCCCCUAUCUGAUCUAACAAUCUUAAUUUCAAGAUUUAGUUGUUUUUCUACUUCACAUUUAAAAACUUUAAAACACUCAAUGACUGCUGACUUUUCUUUUAUUAGAAAAAUGGAACCAUGUCUGGAGUAGUCAUCUAUAAAACUCACAAAAUAUGAAUUUCCACAAAUGGUUUUGACAGGAAAAGGUCCACAAACAUCUGUGUGUAUGAUCUCAAGUAAAUUUUUACUUCUAUUUGCAUCCAAUUUCCUAACAUUGGUGGUUUUACCUUUCAUACAAUCAAUGCAAUCAGAUGCAUCAUUAAAAUCUAAUGCAGGUAUAAAGUUUAACUUUGACAAUUGCAUGAUCCUAUCUUUUGAAAUGUGUCCUAGUCUUUUGUGCCACAACAUAUAGGAAUUGUCAAAGUUAUGCAUUCUUUUGGCAGUUGUGUUCAAAAUACUUAAUUCAAUAUUUAAUACCGUGCACUGCAUUUUCCACAAAUGAUCAUGCAAAAUAGCCUUUCCUAUUAGAGACCCUCUACUGAAAAAUUUCAUGCAUUCUUUGUUACCUAUGAAGGUGACACCUUCAUUUACUAACCUAGAUGCAGAUAUUAGAUUUCUCCUCAUUGCAGGCACAUAUAACACAUUUGACAAUUCUAACACAAAACCAAAAGACAAUUUGAGUUUUACCUUUCCUAUGGACUCAACUAUGACUCUGGUUCCUUCACCAACAUAAACAUUAUAUGCAUUUGCUUGUUUCUGUUUUUCAAAACCAUGCAGUGAAUUUGUUAUAUGCACAGAUGCACCAGUAUCAAACCACCAAGAAUUUGCAGGAAUUUCAAUGAGAUUUGAUUCCUCACAGACAUAUACAUUAGUCCUACCCUUAGCCCUCAGCCAUUCCUUGAAUAUUUCACAAUCCUUUCUAUAAUGACCUUUAGUUUUGCAAUGGUGACACCUAACCUUUUCUAUGUUUUUACUUUUGACCUUAAAAUUGUUAGAUUUAGAGGAGUUGAAAUUCUUAGCAGGCACAUAAGAUUUAUCAAGGUGUUUGGGUUUAGAAGUAUUACCAAAAUUUGCAUUGAAGUCUUUCUUUCGAGAUGUCUGCACAAAAUUGACAGCCUCAACUUCUUUUCCUCUAUCCAUCUUCUGUCGAUUUUCCUCUUGAACACACUGAGAUAUAAGCUCAUCCACUGACCAUGACUUAUCUUGAGUGUUGUAGGAGACUUUCAGUUGACUGAACUUCAAAGGAAGUGCUUGCAGGAUCAUGAACACCAGCUGUUUCUCACAAAUAUUCAUAUCUAAUGAAUUGAGUUUUUCAGCCGCAUCUGUCAUCUUCAUAAUAUGAUCUCUUAUUGAACCACCCUCUUCAAACUUGUAAGUUGUGAGCAGAGUCAUGUACUGAGCAAUUUCAGCCUUCUGUGAUUCCUUGAACUUAUUCUCAAUAGCUUUGAAAUAAUCUUUUGCAAGAUCACACCUUUUGAUGCCUCCUCGCACGGUGUCCGUCAUCCCACUUUCCAAAAUUGACAAUGCCACUUUAUUCGCUCUUGUCCAUCUUUCAAACUCUAACUUAUCAGCCUUUGAACUCUUAUCAGUAAGAGGUGCAGGCUGUGGUGUAUCCAGUGCUAUGUCAUAUUCAUUCAGUGUCAAAAGCAAUUCAAUUUCCCUUCUCCACUUUCUGUAAUUACUUCCACCCGUGAGUAUUGGCACAGCAGCCAAAUUCAUUGUUUUUAGUGAAACUGCAGAAGAUAACAAUGAAAUCAACACUUUGAAUCUUUUAGGAUUCAUGAUUUCUAUCUAUUUCACCAUGUAAUCCUCAUCAUGAGUCAAUUUUGUCAUACAUGGUUUCAAACUUUGAUAAAGAUAACCAUAUAUAGAGUAAACAACUCACAGAAGAUUGCAUUCAAGAAUCAUGUUCAAAAGGGAUGAUGUUCAUAUAUCACACCACAUGAAUCGAAUAUCAAAAUUCAAUAAACCCAAUAUAAAACAGCAGCGGAAACUCAAAAAUAAUUGAUUCAGUUUAUCCAUUUAGAUGAUUUUGAUUCGAAUUGGCGAGAUGCUAGCAAAUUCUCUAAUUAUAAGCAUAUAUACGGUAUUCUUUAGUUCAAAUAAUUUCUUACACUAAUUUCAAGUUUUAAAAUUGUAGACAUACCUUUUGGAACAAUCAAUGAAUGCAAUUGGCAUGAGAAGGAUAAAAAGGACGAAAAUUCCUUAAAUCGCUAUAAACCCAGAAACUGGGAAAAGGAAAAGAGCUAAGGGAGAGGAAAAGUCGCAAAACCCAGCAAACAUAAGGGUAAGACCCCUUUUUUUUUUUUUUUUUUUUUUUUUUUUUUUUAAUAAAACGGUGUCGUUUGCUAUUGUUAUUUUCAAAACAGGUUAUGAUUCUGGGUUUGGUAAUUAUAGGUUCUUGUCCAGAUUGUUGUGCAAAAAAAAAAAAUAAUAAUUCGAACUUAAUGGCAAUUAUCUCUCCCAAGCUCUAAUACCACAUGUAAGAACUAUAUCACAGAUCAAAGAUAUGCCAGUAAGUUACCAAUACUCCAACAAUCGAACUAAGUGACAAAACUACAAACACGAAUAUGAAACCAGUGGAAAACAUACCUGCAGAACUUGAACUCGAAGAAGCCAUAGCAGGUUCACAACCAAGCAAUCUUCUCCUCUUUAGCAAAACUAGAAAACUCUCUGAAUAAUAGGUAUUCAAUACAAGAUGAGCCGUGUCUUUGCAAGAGCAGUGAUUGAGGUUAUAUACAACAUUAAUCCAACUCAUUCUCCUAUUAGAAUUAGUGUUGAACUCUAAAACAAAACCUUUUCACACAAUGAGUGUACAAGAUCAAUUAGUGUAGGAUCCGAAACCUUUUCCAGAGGAACACUAAAAGCACUCAUAAUCCUACAAGGACGAGGAUUCAACCAAACACCUUAUCAAGACUUUUCCAUUCAAGAAUUCAUCCAAUAUUAUAGCUAAUCCUCAAACAUGUUUCAUACUCAUAUUCCAACACUAGUUACCAGAGAAUGACUUUUAUCCUUCUAUAAACAGGCAGUUGAUAAAGGUGACUCUGGCCCAAUAUAACUUGACUCAUAAACUGGAAACUUUGAGGCUUCAAACUCUGAGCCAAAAGUUGAAGCUUCUCACUCAACAAACAAAAAUUACAAAUCCAAAACUAAAAAGAAUCAGAAACAAACUAAAACAUGGGAUUGGUGAAGGCCAUACCUUCGAAAGCAUAGACGCAGACAGCUCUUCGAGAGCGAUCCCAACUCCGGGGUCGGAGGCGGAAACAGAGGCCAAUAUCCUCAAGAUUUUGCGUUGACGAUUGUGAGAUCGGGAUAAAACGGUCGAAACCAAAUUUGCAAGUUUUGAAAAAACGUUAAGGAAUCUGGGUUUCAAUGAAUAAGGAGGUUGCAAAUAAAAUCCCCAAAGAAACAAAAAAAAGGUCUCCCAUGUCGGUAUUUUGUGAGAGAAAAAGCGCAAGAUUCGAGAGCGAGUUCAACAGCAGCAGAAGCACAGAUUUGUGAGAAAGAAGAAAUCGAAGGAAAAAUCGAGAAGAUGCAAGAGAGGCUUGAGGCAAGCAUGGACAAAUGGGUAAUCUUACGUGUAAAGAGGAGAAAGAACGGAGCAGGAAAGCUGUUUGACAAGGCAAUAUCGCUAAUUUAAUUCUGGUGAGCAACGCUUUUCCACCAAGUGGAUGGCAAGGGCAAAAACACCUUUUUACUGUGAAAAAGACGCAAAAACAAAAUGGCACAUAAAAAAGCAUUCAGAGGGCAUUUUCGUCCGUUUACUGCUGGUGAACAGUGUUUUUUUGCUUGAGUUUUAGUAUAGGUUCAACUAAAAAUUGUUAUCCGCGUGAUUAGAAACUGUUAAAAAAAAUUAUCAUAGACUAUUAAUAUUAUUUACAUUAAAAAUGUUACACGAUUUUAACAAACAAAAAAUUUAAUCUAUACAGUAUACACACAAACAAUUGUAGAACUUUUGUCUUUACAUAAAAAAAAUAAAAAAAAUCUAAGUUAUUCACUGAAGCACCUAAAGUUUCUUGAUUGUGAAGAAAGCAACCUCAGCAAGGAAAAAUAUGAAAUAUUAAAAUACAUGCAAUUAAUUUAUACAUCAACGGGCUUAUAUUACAAAAAAAUAAGGAUAAAGUAUUGCUACCUAGUCUUUUUUUUUUUGGAGGAAAAUAAUCUGAUUUUAUACCAAUUAGAGAGAACUUUUUUUCAGCAAUUUAAUAGUCUAAUAAAUUGAUUAUACAAAAAAUCCAUUAAAAAAACCUAAAAACAAUAAACUAUUCACUAAUUUUUCAUACGAAAUAGAACAAAGCUAUAGAAUAUACCUUUUCAUAGUGAGUAUUGUGAAAAAUACAACAUAGCUUGAGACAAUGGUAAUUAACGUGUUUGGAAAAGUCUACCUGCGUGGUGGUGUAAUCGUCACAUAGAUAAACUUCAAUGCCAAUUGAUUGAACUAAGUUUUUUUUUUUUAACAAACAAUAUUAUCUACACUAAAGAGAAAGGUAAGCUUUAGCCUCACAACAAGAGAAGCCUUGCGCAGAGCUCUACCUCUAACAACUCAAUUAUAUCUUGAAAUCGGCUAAGUUGGUAUUGUAACACGGUAAGGUUGGGUAGAUUUUAGAUCCAAAUGUCACCAAACAAUAUUCUGCAGAAUGGCAGUGUUCUGUCUAGAUUGUCCAUGGCACGGACGUAAACUGGAUGAUAACGCAGGGCAACACUGGUACUAUACCCUAAACAUCCACAAGCUAUAAACAAAUAGUUAAAGUUCAUAUGCACCAAGGGUACUAAAACUCAACCCAUUGUUUAGUAAGAAGAACCACAAAAACAAAUUAGUAAAAACCGAAAUGGUUAUCAGAUGGACACAAAGGUUUUUGUACUACGUGAAACUUUGCGUCGAGAAAUUGAAACAACUAUCAGGAGACAGUUAUACGGAUUUCCUACAAUUCUAUAAAUAAUGUAUUCUUUCACCAUUGUUUCAAUUCAAACAAAAAUUAAAGAACAGAAAAGCUAGAAGCAGGAAAAUUGCAACUGAUCAAUAUUUUCCAAACAAAACCAACCUGCAAUGUCCUAGUUGCAAAUUCAACUCCAAUGGUGGACUUAGACUCCAAAGAAAACUCAUUCCUCGUAAACCUCGAAAGAAUGUUCGAUUUUCCAACACCCGAAUCUCCAAUCAAUACAAUCUUGAAGAGGUAAUCGUAUUCGUGAUCCACCUUGUACGCCAUACGUUCUACUCCUCACACACACACCCCCACAACACCUGCCCAGAUCCAGAAUUCACCAAACAAAAAGCUGUUAGCAGUCAAAAAACCAAAAAAAUAAACCCAUUCUCUUGUUUUGACAGAAGGGAUGAGAAAAGUGCUGAUCAGAGAGCAUUUUCUUUACCUACGGUUUCUUUCCAAUGUGAUUUUCCCGAGAAACAAACGGAAAUUGGGUAAUCAUAAAACAAUGACAAUGGCGCGUAGAAUGGUGAUUAACAAAAUAGAGGAUUUUUUGAAUGUUGGGUUUUGUUAUGUUUGCAUUGAAGUUUGUGGAAACAGAGGAGAGGAGAAAAGAAGAAGAAAAGGAUGGCGUUGUACAAAGUUAGAAACAGAACAAUGGAUGAAAAUGCACUUAAACGGCCUUUCACGAGGGAACUGACGCGCCGAAUUCGGAGUCUAUGUAAAGUAAACGACCAUUCAUAAGACAUGACGCAUAAAAUUUAAGCCCAUUCUCAAUAUGGGCUUAGGGCAUAUGUUUGUAACCCACUGAAAAGCUCCAUUAGGGUUUCCUAUCACACACUAUUUAUCUCUCUACACACUUAUGUCAUGUAGUCAUGUUUAAUCAUAUCAGUUGACUAUUGAUUUUAUCAACUUGGGUUACUAAAAAUUAAGAAAUGAGUGCAAUUAUCAUUUCUAACUGUUUUAAAAUGUUAGGAUGAUUCAUAAACAAAUUGGAAGUUCAAAAGAUAAGUCGGAAUGAGCCCCUAAAUUCAAAGGGCAUUUGCCAUGUCUCUCUGUUUUGUGAAUCAUUAAAAGUGACAUUAUUUAUCCUUACAUAUUUUGUCUUUGGUGCACAAAGUGACUACUACUACCUACCACUACAAACCUAACCUCUUACACCACCAUUGUUACCACCACGCCACCACCACGACCAUAACACACAAGCGUCACCACUACCACCACUUACCUCUGUGGCUCAACCACCACACCCCUUAAUCAGCAGCACCACCACCACUAUCACAACCAUUGUCCUAGCCACCGUUGUCAACGUCAUCACACAAAUUAUCAUGUCCAUUUUUGUUAUUAUAUACAAUUAUAUCAUUUUACAUUAAAUUUUACCAAACACGCUUUUACAAUGCUUUUCAUACUCACAACACUUAUAAAAAUACAGUUAUCAAACGCUCAGCUACUUUAUUUUGUAGCUGAUUAUUCUUAAAGCACAACAUAAACAAUUUUUUUUUAAAGCAUAGUACUCCCCAACUGGCCCUAAGUCCACAAAUGAGUCAUCCCAAGCAAAGCCGGUCUUGAGUUUUUUGGUGCCCGGAAAAGAAUCAGAAAGUGCCUUUUCUUAAUACACGGGUAUAUAUUAAAAAUAAAUAUUUAAAAAGAGUGGGCCAAACCCUUCAUACAUAUUAUAUUACUCAAGUGCAAAGGUAAACGUUCAUAGCUAAUAAGGAUAAAACUGUUAAAAGCAUAGUUAGUUAGAAUUGUUAUAAGGUGGUUAUGAUAGCUUGUAAUUAGUGAAUGUUUGUUUGGGUAUUUUUGUAAUUAGCUGGUUAGCUAAGACUAGUGAGUCACUAGUAUAUAUAUGUACAUACCAUUGUAUAAUUUUAUCUUGAUGAAAUGAAAAGAUAACAUUUCUAAUAUGGUAUCACCCACCUAAAAGUCUCACGACAUUUUCGAUCCUAUUUUUCCCGCCUCUCUCUCUGCAUCGUCUCCUAGGGUUUGCUUCUUCUUCUCCGAUCAAUCGAUCGCUUCAACACUCUUGCUUCUUCUUCUUCAUGCUAUGACGAGCUCUGCAGCUUAGUCUUCUUCCGCUUCAGAUUCUUCUAUUCAUCCAAUUCCUGCUGCUCUUUCUAACCCUAAUUCUGCAAUUACGAUCCAAAACAUUGGAUCCAUGGUUCCAAUCAAGCUUACAACGACGAACUACCUGACCUGGAGUGCUUUAUUCACUCCGAUUUUCCGCCGGUACAAUCUUACCAGAUUAAUUGACUGCACAAUGGCUGCUCCGUCGAAAUUCCUUCUCGAUGCAUCUGGAAAUUGCACCGCCACUCUGAAUCCCCAAUAUGUUGCGUGGUAUGAGAAUGAUCAGAACAUCUUGAUCUAGAUCAACUCUACGCUCUCGGAUGCAUUCUUUACACUGUUGGUGUUAAUUCGGCUCGGGAGUUAUGGUCCAAGUCAUGUAUUUCUCUUUCUAGUGUUUUAAAUAAAACUGUCUGCUCCAGCUGUGCUCUAGGCAAGUCUUCAAAAUUACCUUUUGUUUCUGUUUCCUGUACCUCCAAUAAACCUCUGGAAUUGUUACACACUGAUGUAUGGGGUCCAGCCCCUCUUCUUUCUAUCAAUGGACAUCGUUACUACAUCAUUUUUGUUGAUGAUUAUACCAAAUACACUUGGUUCUUUCCUCUUGCAUCCAAGUCUGAUGUCUUUGACACAUUUGUCAAAUUUAAAGCUCCCGUGGAAAAUCUACUCAGUUCUAAAAUAGUUACUAUAAGAUCUGAUUCUGGUGGAGAGUUUCUUAGUCUCAAGCUCAUCAAUUAUCUGCAAUUACAUGGCAUUUCACAUCAGUUAAGUUGCCCUCACACGCCUGAACAGAAUGGCUGUGCUGAACGCAAACAUCGGCAUCUAGUUGAAACUGCUAGAACUUUUCUAGCAGCCUCUCAAGUUCCUAAGCUCUAUUGGGAUGAUGAUUUUGCCACGGCUAUCUAUCUGAUUAAUAGAAUGCCAACAGCUACCAAGUAUUCUCCUUGGGAAUUACUCUUUCACAAACCUCCGGAUUAUUCCUCUCUGAAAGUGUUUGGCUGCAAAUGUUUUCCUUGGUUGAAGCCUUACAUUUCCUCUAAACUUGAUCCAAAGAGCAAAGUAUGUGUCUUUUUGGGUUAUAGUUUGAAUCACAAUGGUUAUAAAUGUCUCGAUCCUCAUACUGGCAGAGUAUAUCUUUCACGGCAUGUUAUUUUUUAUGAAGUCACUUUUCCUUUUGCUCAACAAGACUUAUCUCAGUCUCUCCCAUCUAGUUCUAGUUCUUCUAUACUGAGGAAUCAUCACACCAUUCCCACAACCUUAACUUUUCCCACUAUAUCUUCACCUUUACCAUCUCAUUCCCUUACUGCACCUAGUUCCCUUAUUGCAUCUAGUUCUCUUGCUGCACCUAUUUCCUCUUCCUCAUCUCCUCACCUUAUUUCUCAUCCCAUCUCUGCCCCUAAUCCACUUGCCGCACCCUCCAUACCUCAAAACACUCAUGCCAUGCAAACUCGUUCCAAAUCCAGUAUUGUCAAACUAAAGGUUUUUUUAGCAACCAAACAUCCCAUUUCCUCUGAGAUGUCACUGGACUAUAUACCAUCCACUUAUCUUCAAGCCUCCAAACACUCUCACUGGAGGCAAGCUAUGCAGGAAGAAUUUAAUGCUCUUAUUCAAACUGGCACUUGGUCUUUGGUCCCUUCUCAUUCUUCUCAGAAUUUGGUUGGUGCAAAAUGGGUAUUCAGAAAUAAACGCAAGCCUGAUGGUACCAUUGACAGGUACAAAGCAAGGCUUGUUGCCAAAAGAUUUCAUCAGCAACAAGGUUUGGACUACACUGAAACAUUUAGUCCAGUUGCAAAGCCGGUUACCAUUCGGCUUCUUCUCACUUUGGCUGCCAAGUUUGAUUGGUUCCUCAAUCAACUUGAUAUUAGCAAUGCAUUUUUGCAUGGUAAUCUCACUGAAUCUGUGUUUAUGGUACAACCACCAGGAUUUGAAGACCUUACAAUGCCUUCUCAUGUUUAUCAUUUGCAUAAGUCUUUGUAUGGUUUGAAGCAAGCCCUCAGGGCUUGGUAUGAGAAAUUAACAACUGCCUUAAAGUCUCUCGAUUUCUCUGGUUCUCAGAAUGACUAUUCUCUAUUUGUAAAACGGGAACCAGCUCUGGUCUUCAUUCUAAUUUUGUUGAUGACAUUAUUGUCACUGGUCCAAGUUCCCAUCUUUGCCAAGAGGUUAUAACUCAACUCGGUGUCUUAUUUCCUGUCAAAGAUCUUGGCCCCCUUUAUUACUUUCUUGGCAUUGAAGUAACAAGAUCAUCCUCGGGGAUAUUGCUUUCUCAGACCAAAUAUAUUCUUGAUCUCCUCACUAAAGCUCAUAUAGAGGGUUCCAAGCCUUGUGUUACCUCGAUUAGCACCACUAAAUUGGAUCAUAAAUCUCCUUUGCUUGAUAAUCCUGAAGAAUAUCGAUCUUUGGUUGGUGGUUUGCAGUAUUUAACUUGGACUAGGCCCGACUUAUCUUAUGCAGUGAAUUUGGUCUGUCAAUUCAUGCAUAGUCCUCGGCAAGCACAUUUCCAGGCCGUCAAGCGCAUUCUUCGAUAUCUUAAGGGUUCCUUGCAAAUUGGCUUAUGGUUUCCUAAGUGUUCCAAGUCUCUCACUCUCACUGCCUUCUCCGAUGCAGAUUGGGCAGGUUGCAGUAUUGACAGACGAUCCACUAGUGGUUUUGUAAUUUUUUUGGGAGACAAAGAGUGCAAAGAAACAGCCUACUGUGGCUCGAUCCUCAACUGAGGCUGAAUAUCGAUCUUUUGCAAACACUGCGGCUGAACUCACCUAGAUUUGCAAGUUACUGACUGAUGUUGCUCUUGUUCUUCCCUCUUAUCCACAACUUUGGUGUGAUAAUAUCUCUGCAAUUUCCUUGGCUAAGAACCCUAUUUUUCAUGCACGAACCAAACAUGUGGAGAUAGAUUAUCACUAUAUCCGCGCAAAAAUUGCUCGCCAAUCAAGUGCAAGUUCUUUUUGUCUGCACGGAGGAUCAACUUGCUGACAUUUGUACUAAACCUCUAUCCAAGCCUCGGUUCAUCUUCCUUCGCAACAAACUCUCUCUUCGGUUCCCUCAGUUAGGUUUGCAGGGGGGAUAAUAAGGAUAAAACUGUUAAAAGCACAGUUAGUUAGAAUUGUUAUAAGGUGGUUAUGACAGCUUGUAAUUAGUGAAUGUUUGUUUGGGUAUUUUUGUAAUUAGCUGGUUAGCUAAGACUAGUGAGUCACUAGUAUAUAUAUGUACAUACCAUUGUAUAAUUUUAUCUUGAUGAAAUGAAAAGAUAACAUUUCUAAUAAUAGCCACUUUAAACUAUAAUCAUUAAGUUCAUCUCCAACUGAACGCUGGCCAAAUGGCUUGUUUUAGCCAUCUGAUCCUCCAAGAAAUUAAUAUUUUAAUGAACUGUGCAUGAUCAUAUUCUUACCAUCUCCAACCGAGGGCCAAACAUAAUUUAUUAUUUAAAUUUAAAAACUACAACUUAAAUUAAAAAAACUACAACUAAAAUUUAAUAACUACAAGUAAAAUUUAUAAAAUACAACUUAUAUAUUUCAAGUCAAAUGUGAGAGGUUUUAUUUAGAGUAGCAAAAAAGGAAAUAAGUGGGAGAGGAAGUAGGAGAAACUAAAAAUGUGGAAGUGGGUGGGAGAGGAAGUAUAAAAAUAUAAAAAAAAUGGAAGUGGGUGGGAGUCCCACAUCGGUUGUGAGAAAGAUUUGAGCAAGUUCCAAAGCCUAUAAAAAGAACACCUAACAUUCAAUGAAACAUACUUUCUGGGCCUAUAAUUGAAUAUAUUUUUUUAAAAAUUUUGGCCAACAAAAAAAAAAUUCAAAUAACUGUAAAAAAAACAAAAAAAAGGGCUAGCUAACUUUAGCUAGUUGACAGUUGCUUUUGAAUUUUAGCCCGGCCAGUUGGCCCUUUGACCCUUUUUUAUCUAGUGGGGCCCACAAUCCCUUUGGUCUAGUUCUUGGUUUGAGGCAAUUUUAAGGUCAUUUUCGACCCUCUGACACCUUUUGGUUGAAGAUGACCUAACAGAAAAAAAUUGAACAUUUUAUGAGACUUCUCUCUCCGAAGAGGUCCCAAAUUUAAGUACUAGUAAACGGGUGCAUUUUUACUCACCCACAUUAACUUAGGUGUAUGCUCACCACACAACUCCAAGCUUGCCAAGUGUCCCUUUGCUUUAAUCCUAGUUAACAUUUUCAUUUGUUAUUAAUAUUUUACUAUAAUAAUACAUUAAUAAUCAUCUUAACAUUUAUCUUUGAACUUUUUAAUCAAUAUUUGUAUCUCAACCGUCCAUCUCCCCUCUUCCUCCCCCCUCCCAUCUCUCUCCUCUGUCACUUUUCCCCCUUUUCUGUCAUUUGGGUGAAUAUCCCAAAUCUAAAAUCUCAAAUUCUAAUACAAAUUUAAAGGGGAAUGGGUGAAUUGAUUUGACGGGGUGAAGUCCAUCAAUAUCGUGAGAAAGGAGCAUGAUGAGUAGAUUUUAUAUUAUAUAUGUUACCCUAAUCUUAGUAUAUUUUGGUUAACAUUUUGGAAGAAUUUUGAUACUUUGAAUUGUAUUUCCAAUAUAGGACUUUCGACUUCUUCUGGAGCAAAACAGAAUCAAAUGGACGAUUUUUUGAGUAAUUCUAGUUGGAGAACGUUCGUGAGUCACUUAUAUUGAUCGUAUCAAAAUCUGGGAUUUUUCCACUAAGCAGUUAUUUUCUGGCGAUAAAAUAAAGGAGCGAUGUGCAGUGCUGGAAAAUGACGUUUUUUGGCUUAAAUUACGUUUUUGUAGCCCAAGAUGACCUCGGAUGGGUUCGUGGCCUUCUGGAGAAGUGUUCAUAAUGUUCCAAACAUUAAAUUCAGCUAUAUUGGGCUGGUUUUGGAGCAGCUUAUGGGUCCAAAAUGUGGCUGUUCAGAUUUUAGGCGAAUUUUCCCAUUUAAUUUAGGAUUAUGUUUCCUAUUUUAUUUAUUGUUACUAUUAGUUUCCUAGAGGAAAAAAGGACCUGUUUUUAGGGUUUGUGUGGUGGUUUAGCAAAUAUAUUGCUUAGCCGUCUACCACAUUUUUCUCUACGCUUUAUUUUAUGCAAUUUUGAAGACAGAGAGAAGUGCUAGGGUUUUGGAGAUUUUCUACUUGAAGGUGUUUUCAAUCAUUUUCUUAAUAAUAUUUUCUAUGAUUUCAAUUAUGAAUAUGCAUAACUAAUUUCCUAUUGCUAGGGCGAAGCCUUGAGCCUUAACAUGAAUACGUGAUUUUUAUUUAAUUGCUUAUGAUUGAUUGCAUGCAUACUUUGAAUUGUUAAUCACCGGGAUAAAAACUAUCUAAUUAUCUUAAUGCAUGAUCACCAUUAUGAUCUUUAGAAAAGUAAUUUGAUGCAAUUUUGGUCGGAAGGUUCCCUGAAAUUGACGCUGGCUUCAUGUGAUUAAUAAUUGUAAUUUCACUUAAGAUGAACA